This 70352-nucleotide long non-coding RNA is filed under the name Triticum aestivum (bread wheat). Its description in RNAcentral is "long non-coding RNA (TAES_LNC014846)". Lineage: Eukaryota; Viridiplantae; Streptophyta; Magnoliopsida; Poales; Poaceae. The record is from RNAcentral.
UUUUUUUUGGUAAUGUCCACAUGGCAAAAGAAUCAUGUUAAGAUAACAACAUUCUAUUUUUUGAUGCGUAAGACAUGUCAGUUUUUUUCCCACCUAAUUGGCACGACAAAAUUUACCUUUUUAUUUGCAAUGGAAACUUUACCUUUGUUGACAUGGUUAAUUUAACUACACUGCCAUGGGAAAUUCUUCACUUCUAUUGCCAAUAGCAAAACUUUUUAUUUGCCAUGGCAAAUUUACACCAGUUACCAUGGCAAAAUUACUUACAUUGUCAUGGAAAAUUUACUUUUUACAUGUCAAUUUAAUAGCUCAUGGCAAUUUUUUGCUUUUCAUGGGACCAUGGUAAAUUGGCCAUGGCAAUUUUACUUUGAGUACAUUGAGCAUGACAAAUGAACAAGAAACAAAGUCUACAAUCAUUGAGUACAUUGCGCAUACCGUGGGGCAAAAAAUGUGUUGAAUGGUCAUAUGCCAUUUUUUUGGGAAAAAGUGUCUUAUACAUCAUAGCAAAAUUUGAAACAUUUUUUUGGAAUAGCCACACGACAAAUGUAUGCAUUUUUUAUCUUCAAAACAUGUUACCAUUUUAAGAACACGACAAUUUUACUUUGUAGCAUGGUAAAUUUACUUUAUUGCGAUGGCAUUUUUUACUUUUAUUGUCAUGUCAAUUUUACUUUAAUUUUUUGCCAUGUCAAUUUGUACUAUUUUAUUUUGAUCAUGGAAAAAUUACCUUUUUUUCCAUUGCAAAUUUACCUUCAUUGACAUGGCAAUUUUAAUUUAACAUACAUGGAAAAUUUACUUUUACGGCGCAUGGUACUUUUAUUGCCAUGGCAAAUAUAGUUUACGUUCAUGGAAAAUUUUGCUUUUCACACUGUUCAUGCAAUUUUUUGCUUCUACAGACUAUGGUAAAUUUACUUUAUGAGACAUGGCAAUUACUAGUAGACAAUAUAUGGUGCACUUUUUUGUAUUUCACGUGAUGGCAAAUUUUUAUCCACAAUUUUUUGUGUCUUCACGAUCACGUAUAUAGUAAAAAUGCCAUACAAAUUGCAAUCCAUAUUUUUUUGCCACCAUGUACACAUGCAAAUUGCCAUGACUUCCUUUUUUGUGCAUUUUCAUGAAAAAAGAUCGUUUUGACCAUGUCAAAAUUUGCUUUUAGAUACAAUGACAAUUUUUGGUUUGAACCACUAGGAUUUUCAGUUCUCUAUCAUGACAAAUUUACCCCCCCUCCUAUUUGGACCAUUGCAAUUUUUGUAUAGCAUGGCAAAAUCUAGACUUUUAUUGGUCACUACCAAAACUGGGUUUUUUAGUCUUAGUACAAACUGGGUGAAACUGGGAUUUACCAUUUUCUUGCAAAAAUGCCAUGCACGGACGCUCGAGGUGGGUGUUUGUUCUUUUUUUUGGAAUGGAGAUGCAAGAUUUGUCUCAUGAAUUAAUUAAUCAGAGGAGAAUUGCCCAAUUAAUUAACGUAAAACCAUAUGGAAACCGAUACAAACCAAGAAUAUGUGGACUCUUCAUAGAGCAUGCAAACCCCCAAAACGCACGGCCAACCUGACAACCAUACCCACUAACCCCUACACUGCUACAUCACAAAGAAACCCGUGAUGAGAGUACCUCAGCCGAAGACCGCAGACACCACCAAAUCCACACAGACAAGUCAAGUCAUAAGGACAACCCAAGAGACCGAUGACCAUUCAUCAAGCAGUUGCGGACACCUUUCUUGUGGCGCCGCUCUUCUUUCUUUUGCUCCUGAGAGCCUCCUACACAAUCGUCUUGCCAGAUCCAGGGUUAGCCGCUUCUAAACAUGCGAGCAAGCUAGAAGCUCUAUCUAGAAAGAGAAUCCCAUCAACCUUGUCACGCACAGACAACACCUACCCAACGGUCAUGUGCGAGUGGGUAAACGCAACGCCGGAACCUCCACUGUCCAUAAAGGCGAGCGACUUGCUGGGCUCUAAAGGAUCAUGUGCCAACAUACUGACCAUCUCAACAUCAGCACCCACAGGUACCACCGACAUGAUUGACUCAAGCGCCUCGGAUUGCUCACAUGACAUAGGUGAAUCAUGUUCCUUACACGAGGUUGCCAGCAAGUCGACCUUCAUAUGCUUCAUAGACAGAGGCAACUUGUGUGCUGAGGCAUAAUUUGUAGCACUAGAGCCACGACCUCAAUAACGACUUCGCUCUCGGAAGCAAUUGUCGCGACUCACAGUGGCGACGGGCAGGAUGUAGCACGAGGGGAGAAAUCUCUGUAGAGGCCUGCUUCCCCAUGUACAGAAACCAACCUAGAGCUCAGGCAGCAGAGACACAAACUGAAGUUUGGUGAGAGCAGCCUCUGCUCUUGCCAAAACACUCCCAACUCCCGCAAUGCAGUCGCGAUCAUGUCGAACAAAUUUGUUCGAUGGAUCUUUCCCUAGUAACGAACAAAACAUUUUCUCCAGAGAGCGAACAAAUUUGAUGUUAGUGCCAUAUUGGGGGUCCUAAGAGCAUCUACAAUCGGAAUCCUCAAACCCCCUAUAAGCCGGAGCAGACGAUGACCCGGUAAAAAAAACCCGACCCAGACGAACAUCUCAUACCAACGCCAAAUGCUCAGGCUAACCGACACCGCUCAUAUCCAACCCAAAUCUGGGGAGGACAUGGGGAGGCUCGGGUGCGUCCGCCACGUCGGAUCCAGCUCACUUUGGCCCGCCCCGACCUCACAUAUAUUUGUCCUCAUCUAUUCUCUGGACCAAACCCUAGCCACUCCACUCCACUCCACUUCGCCCCAAGCUCCCUUCCAGCGUUCUCCGAUGUGGCGGGCAGUGGAUCUGACUCCAAGCACUCUUGAUCAGCUGACUCGGGCUCCAUGUGAGCUGGAUGAGGCUAUGACCAUCCACAUGGUCCUCCGCCGCUCCUAGGAGGAGUGCGCCUGACCGACGUUAGAAUCUACCGACACGAAUCCAUUGCGUGAGUGCAACUGGCGCUCGGAUCCACCGGGGUUGGAGGCUCGAGGUCCGUCUGCCACCCCAUCUCUGGUCCACUGGUGUAUGAGUGCUACAAGAGUAAUGUGCCCUAUGGUAACAAGCAGGGGACGUGGGAGCGCGAGGCCCGCCUUGCUGCUGAUGUGGUGGAGGCGGAUGCGACGGCGCACUCUUUCGCGGAAGAGGAAGCCAUCAUUGCCCGCAUCCUCCAGAAUCGACAAAGGAGGAACACACACGCCCUCACCCGAGAGCAAGUCCAGGUAGUCCAUGCCAUGGCUAGAAUGCUCCCAAAGAGAAGAAGGACGUCAAUGACGGGAUGGACAACUCUGGCUAGGAGGAGAUCCGACUUGAUCCAUAUUGCGUCUUUGAGCACUACUUCCAUCAAAAACACGCCAAGGGAGCCGACAAGGGCAACCGUGGAUGAUCUUUGUGUAAGUGCAUCUAGUGCCCCUUAGUGAUUUUGGUGUAUUGAAGACUUAUAGGUUAAGGGACUAAUGUGUUUAUGAGUGUACACAGGUCUAUAAGUCUAUGAGGAGUUUGAUAUUUACAGAAAAAGUCGACCCCUAAAAAAUGAAGUUCUUUGACUAAAGACUUUGAAUUUCUGAAGACUUUCUGAAGACUUUGAAAGUGAAGAAAUUGGUGUGACCUUUGAAGACUUGGCAUUCAUUCGAGGAACAUGAAGCGUGAAGACUUUUGUUUUCGUAGUUCCUUUUUCUCUUUCUUGAGUCAUAGGAAACACCAUACUGUUAAAGGGGGUCGAGGAAAUACUAAGGAAAAAUUUCCAUGUGAUGCUCAACUCAAAAUCCUACACCUACCAAUCCCUUCGAUUGAAGCCAUUGGAAAUCUCAUACAGUUCAGUCAUAUUCUUCGGUGACAGAGACGAAGUUCUUCUGGUCUCUGAGGAAUUUGUUCUGACUGAGGAGUUAGGAAUUCGCCAGUGCGGAUUGCCUACACGGUGAGGAACAUGAUAGCCCUGAGGAAUUUGAUACUCAAAUUUCCGACCGUUGCUGUGCUAUGUGCCAGCUGUCCCAAAAUAUCUAUCCACCUAACGGUCAUAUCAUUGAAGGGCAUUUAUGUCUUAUCAUGUCGGGCUGCUCCCUAGGCUAUAAAUAGCCGCCCCUAUAACCACUAGCUAGUUGGCUGCUCCGAGAAAAACUGACACUUGUCAUUUGAGAGCAUCCCAUUCUCCGAGGACUUUGAGCGAAAAUCAUCAAGUGAGGAAAACCCAAACCCAAUCAACUACAAACCCAAAGUGAUUGAGCAUCACUAAAGAGAUUGAUCCUGCGUGGAUCCGACGCUUGUUACCUUUGAAGACUGUGCUUCUUCCAGACGGUUAGGCGUCAUGGUCUAGAGCAUCCAAGAGGAAUUGUGGAUCGCCGAGUGACCAAGUUUGUGAAGGUUCGGAAGUCACCUGAAGACUUACCACGAGUGAUUGGGCGAGUUCUGUGUGACCUUAGCUCAAGGAGAAUAUGGUGAGGACUGUGUGUCCUCAGGUUUAAAUACCUAGCUGCUCCAACCAGAUGUACAACUGAGACAACAGUUGGAACUGGUCUACCAAAUCAUUGUCUUCACCAAGCUCACUGGUUCUAUUUCCUCAACUCUUUCAUUUCGUCAUAACUGUGUUGAGUGCUUGUUCGUAUCUGUGUUUGAAGACUUUGACUAAAGACUUUCUCAAUUUCCUCAGUUCAAUUUCUUUAGUCUGUUUGUCUUCAUACUGUGUUAUCCUGCGUUUACGCUUUCUGUACUAUGUGCUUGUCUUCUUUUCAUCAUGAUGACUAUGCUUGUGUUCUUUUAUGUUUAGUUUUGAGUACUUAUUCCGCUGCUAGUAGUUCUUCGCUAAGGAAUUUCCUCACCUACAAAUUCCUCAGUGAAGAAUUCACAAAAAUCACCUAUUCACCCCCCUCUAGUCGAUAUAACGCACUUUCAAUUGGUAUCAGAGCAAGGUACUCCCUUGUUCUGUGUGAUUUUGGUUUAACCGCCUGGAUUUUUAGUUAUGUCGACCACAGGAAUGAAGACUGUGUCAUGCCCCAUCUUUGACGGUCACGAGUAUCCCAAGUGGAAGGCCAUGAUGAAGAAGCGCCUCAUGGCGAUGAACAGCGAGCUGUGGACGGUCACUGAGAUUGGUCUGACCGAUCUGUGCAAGAUGGCGGAAGCUGAUGACAUUCACAAGUACACUCUUCUCAACGUCACAACGAAGGACGCCAUCUGCUCCUGUUUGUCUCAAAAUCAGUUCAGGAAUAUCAUGCAUCUUGAUCAUGCGAAGCUUAUCUGGGACCGUCUCUCUGAGGUCUAUGAAGGUCAUCGAACCCGUCAUGAUCCUUGGUUUGAGGACUUCAGGGAAUCUCUCAAAGCGAUGGCAUUCAAACUAGAAUCAUCAUCUUCUGCAUCAUGCCUUAUGGCAAAAGAUGCUAAGAUAACUGAAUGCUAUCUAUCUGAAUCCAGUGAUGAUGAAUCUGGUGAUGAAUUUGGACCCAACUAUAUCAAACUUGCUUCCCUUGCCACUAAACAACAAAGAGCUUUGGAAAAAAAAUCAAUACAUGCUAAAUAAGAGUGAUGAUAUGUUGGGUGAAGAAAUGGAUCAGUCCAAAGCUUUGGCUGAGAGUCUUCAGAGGCUUCAGUCUAAGUUUGACACCCUUCAAGGUCAUCAUAACACUCUCUUAUCUGAUCAUGAGAAGCUUUCAUAUGAAUUUCUUCAAAGAAUGCAAGAUCUUGAAAAUAUAAGAGUGAGUUAUGAAGAUCUUCAGAAGGAGCAUGAUUCAUUGCUUUCUCAACAAAUCAACGCUUCUCAGGAAGAAUUUGUUCCUCCAUGCUUGAAGUGCAUUGAACAUGAAUCUGCUAAUUCUUCACCUGAAUGUUCAAAUGCUGCUAAUAUUUUAAAUUCUUCACCUGCCUCUGCUAUCACUAAUUCCUCAUCUGAGGACACUGCUAGUAUCACUGACAAUGCAGGGCUGAAGGAAUUGUACAUGACAGGCAUGUACAAAAGCCUCAAAGGGCAUCAGACUCUUUGUGAUGUGCUUAAAAAGCAGAUCCUCAACAGGAACCCUAGGAAAGAGGGUAUUGCCUUUGAGAGGAAACUCAAUGCUGAUGGUACAUAUUGGAAGCCUGAGCAGUACCCCAAAACCUCCUGGGUUGCUGCAAAGGGACCUCCAGUUGAUCCAUCCAACUUAUCUGGCUUUGCAUGUGAAUCUCCUCGUUCUGAUGAUGAGUCAUUUGACUCCAACUAUAAACUGUUCAAAAAUCAUAAUGGUGAAGUAUUUGCUAGAUAUGUUGGCACUAACUGCAGGAACGGUCCUCCUAUGAAGAAAAUCUGGGUUCCCAAAAAGUGCCUUGAAAGUCUUCAGGUGAAUGUCCUCAGGACACCACCUGUGAGGAAUAGGAACCCCAGAUCAAAUUCUUCAUAUGGACCAAAUUCCUCAAAAGGAUCAAAGUCCUCAUAUGAAUAUCAUCAUGCUAAUUACUCUGUUUCGCAGGGAAGAGCCAAGGGCUAUGAAUAUGAGUAGUAUUCUUCUAAUCAUUAUGUUCAUAAGUCCUCGAAAAAUUUCUCUGCAUAAUCAUAUGCUUAUCCUAACUCCUCUUAUGUGAAACAGAAUGGACUGGCUUCUAUGCCACCUUUCUCGUAUGGAGCUCGCAGAGUGAUGAACCCUUUGCCACCCCUUCAGAUGUGGGUGGUGAAGAAAAAGAACUAAUCUCUUCUGUAGGGUCAGGUCUCCAGACAUACGUAAUCGUCUGAAGAAUUUGCUGGAGACCUGAGUGUGCCUGAAAGGACGCAGGCUAAUCAUGAAGAAAUGAACUUUCAUUUCUCACGUCCUCAUACCGCUUUAUCUGUUCUGUUUCUUGAUGAAAUUGAUCUGAUGAAUUGAUGUCAUAUUCUUCACUGAUGAAGUAUAUGAGUUAGUAAGUUGCACUAAUUCAUCUGCAAGAUGAUCAACCCAAAGCCACUGAGUGGGUCCUCGAUAGUGGAUGUACAAAUCACAUGACUGGUGACAAGAAUCUAUUGAUGGAUGCUCCCUUAUCACCAUCACAUCUGAAGCAUAUCAUCUUCGCUAACAAAGGCAAAAGUCAGGUAUUGGGUCUAGGUAAGGUUGCGAUCACAAAGGAUCGACACAUGGACAAAGUCAUGCUUGUCGAGUCCUUAGGAUACAACCUCAUGUCUAUCUCAAUGCUUUGCGAUCUUGAUAUGGUUGUUGUCUUUGGCAAGUACCGUUGUGUUGUGGUUAUGGAAGCUGACAAUUCCAAAGUCUUUGAAGGCUUUAGGAGAGGAGACCUGUAUAUUGUUGAUUUCUCUACAGGACCACAACCAGCCAUGUGCCUACUUGCAAAAGCUUCAGAAGGCUGGCUCUGGCAUCGACGACUUGGUCAUGCAGGCAUGAGGAAUUUGCACACGCUUGCGAAGAAGAAGCAUGUCAUUGGCAUUGAGAAUAUCAAAUUCCUCAAGGAUCACUUAUGCGGAGCCUGUGAAGCUGGGAAUAUGACAAAGGCUAAGCAUCCAGUGAAGACUAUCAUGACCACCACUCGUCCAUUUGAAUUGCUUCACAUGGAUCUCUUCGGUCCUAACCAUUAUUCUGUAGUCUCAAAUGAUGCAUCUCAAUAUGUCUUUGUUAUUGUUGAUGAUUACUCUCGAUACACAUGGGUACACAUUGUUACUUACAAACAUGAAGUGCAGGAAGUCUUCAAACGAUUUUCCUCGAGGGCUUCAACCAACUUUGGUGUGAAGAUCAAGCACAUCAGAAGUGACAAUGGAACUGAGUUUAAGAAUUCUGGUCUUGAUGACUAUCUUGAUGAACUUGGUAUUACUCAUGAGUUAUCUGCUCCUUAUACUCCUCAGCAGAAUGGCGUCGUGGAGCUCAAGAACAGGACUCUUGCUGAGAUGGCUUGCACUAUGCUUGAUGAAUACAAAAUGCCUCGUCGUUUUUGGACUGAGGCAAUUGAUACUACGUGCCACAUCAUCAACGGAGUAUAUCUUCACAAAUUCUUCAAGAAUACUGCCUAUGAACUCCUCACUGAUAAGAAACCCAAUGUAAGUUAUUUCAAAGUCUUCGGUGCUAAAUGUUGGAUUAGAGAUCCUCAUCACAACUCAAAAUUUGCACCGAAAGCACAUGAAGAUUUCAUGCUUGGUUACAGAAAGGACUCGCACACCUACAAAGUUUUCAACAAUGUUCUUCACAAGGUUGUUGAAACUGUAGAUGUGCGGUUCGAUGAAACUAAUGGCUCGCAAAGAGAGCACCUACCUUAUGUGAUAGAUGAACCAGCACCUGAGGAAACUAUCAAGUUCAAGGCUAAUGAGGAUGUCAUUCCUACCGAAGAAUCUGCCGAAGAGUUCAUUCCAGAACACGAAGAACGCCAAGCUAAUGCACCUGAAGAAAAUACUGAAGAAAAUGGUGCUGAAGAAAAUGCUGAUCAAAUUCCUCAAUGACAACCAGCUCAUCCUCGCGUUGCAAAAGAAGUGCAAGUUGAAAAGAUCAUCUAUGACAUUAAAGCACCAAGUCCUCUCACACGCUCAAAAGCUUCACAUUUAUCUAACUUUUGUGGGCACUAUGCUUUUGUAUCACAGAGCCCACUAAGGUAGAUGAAGCAUUUCUGGAGCCUGAGUGGAUUCAGGCCAUGCAAGAAGAAUUACAUCAGUUCGAGCUCAACAACGUCUGGGAACUGGUCAAACGUCCAGAUCCUCGCAAGCACAAUAUCAUUGGCACAAAGUGGAUCUAUAGCAACAAGCAAGACAAAAAUGGCCUAGUGGUAAGGAAUAAGGCACGGCUUGUAGCUCAAGGCUACACACAGGUUGAAGGAAUUGAUUUCGAUGAAACUUUUGCACCUAUUGCUAGACUUGAGGCUAUUCGCAUAUUACUUGCUUAUGCUAACCAUCAUGAUAUCACUCUAUAUCAAAUGGAUGUGAAAAGUGCAUUCCUCAAUGGUAAGCUUGGGGAAGACGUAUAUGUUUCUCAACCCCCAGGUUUUGAAGAUCCAAAGCAUCCUGACAAAGUGUUCAGACUCAAUAAGGCCCUCUAUGGCCUCAAGCAGGCCCCUCGGGUGUGGUAUGAUACUUUGAAGGAAUUCCUCAUGAAGAAAGGCUUUAAACCCGGUUCACUCGACCCUACUCUUUUCACUAAAUCUUAUGAUGGUGAAUUGUUUGUGCCCCAAAUAUAUGUUGAUGAUAUUAUCUUUGGCUGUACUGUCCAACGUUAUAGUGAUGAAUUUGCCUAUAUGAUGAGUGAAGAAUAUCAAAUGUCUAUGAUGGGAGAAUUGAAAUUCUUCUUAGGUCUUCAAAUUCGUCAACAACGCAAUGGCAUAUUCAUAUCUCAGGAGAAAUACCUCAAGGAUGUACUGAGAAAAUUCGUCAUGCAAGAUUGGAAAGGCGUCAAAAUCCCUAUGCCCACAAAUGGCCAUCUAUCCACUAAUGAAAAUGGUAUUGACUUUGAUCAAAAGGUAUACCGCUCCAUGAUUGGUUCCUUAUUGUACUUAUGUGCAUCUAGGCCAGAUAUAAUGCUUAGUGUUUGCAUGUGUGCCCGAUUUCAAGCUACACCGAAGGAAUCACACCAUAAGGCUAUGAAGCAUAUUCUUCGAUAUCUAGCUCACACACCAAUACUUGGAUUAUGGUACCCCAAGGGCUCGGUUUUUGAUCUCAUUGGGUAUUCUGACUCUGACUAUGCUGGUGAUCGUGUGGACCGCAAGUCAACAUCUGGUACAUGUCAUUUCCUCGAACGAUCUUUGGUCUGUUGGUCCUCGAAGAAACAUAAUUGAGUAUCACUAUCUACUGCUGAAGCUGAGUACAUUGCCGCUGGUUCUUGCUGUGCUCAAUUGCUAUGGAUGAAGCAAACUCUCAAGGACUACGGUGUCAACAUGAAGAAUGUGCCUCUCUUCUGUGACAAUGAGAGUGCCAUCAAGAUUGCUCACAACCCAGUUCAGCACUCGAAGACAAAGCACAUUCAGAUUUGUCAUCAUUUUCUUCGUGAUCAUGUGUUGAAGGGUGACAUUUCUAUUGAGCAUGUGAAGACUGAAGAACAGCUAGCCGAUAUCUUCACAAAGCCCUUGGAUGAGAAGAGAUUUAGCAAGUUGCGGUGUGAGCUAAAUAUCUUAGAAUCUUCGAAUGUUCUUUGAAAAGGACACUCAUCCUAACACUUAUGCAAAAUUGAUGACUUAGAUGUGCAACACAUGAAGAAAACGUUUUUCUUCAAUCAAUGAAGAAUAACACUCUAAGUGUGAAGAAAUUAACGAAGAAUUUGAUUCUCAGAACCCUACGACAAUUGUACGCGGUGUCUGAAAUCAUCAUUCUUAUAAGGUGGGUCACGCCACCACCAAAAGUUGAAAAUCUUCAAUUUGAGUUUUUCCUCAGUUUUGAAAUUCCUCAGUUGUUCAAAUUCUUCAACUUUGCAUUGUCUUCACUGUUUUCGUCAUUUUUCUUCAUUGGCUAUAUAUAUAUAUAUAUAUAUAUAUAUAUAUAUAUAUAUAUAUAUAUAUAGGGAAAAUCCAUUCUACCACCCAGUGGUAGUUACCCCACAUAUCUCGUAUACUACCAUGUGGUACUAUAUAUACUAUUUUUUUAUUUUAAAUAUGUUCAUAUACUAUAUCUAAGAUAUUUCAAAGCAAGCUACAUGAAAAAAUGGAUAUGAGCCCAUAGUUUUUGUUAUAUUUGUGAAAUACGUAGAUAUUUGUUCGUAAAAAAGAACUUACUCAAAACAUGGUACAUACUACCUAAAAAUUAGUAUAUAUACUACCUAAUCAUUGUUAUAUACUACAUACUACACGUACAUACUCUCGGUUUUGAUAGAUACUACAUACAACAUACAAAACGCAAGUGGUGGUAACUACCACUGCUUUUAGGAAACAUUUGUCCUAUAUAUAUGAGUUUACGUCCUCUACAUCAUUCACUUAUGUCUAUCUUUUCAAGUUGGCUUUUCUGCUAAGUGAAUGUGAUCGGACCCUUCCCCCUCUAUGCUAUACUCAACCCAAUCUAUUCACAAAUUCUUCAUGUGCGUUCUAUUUGAAACUUGUUCAAAAUCUUCACCGUGUCCUUGUAAAGAAUUGCGAACGCAAUGUUAAAACUUAUCUUAUCCAAAUUUUCGGCUUUUCCGCUCAAACCGUUCCGCAUCCCACGAUAUACUUAUCUAUUCACCCACAAUCGCACACGAUCUCCACUUCUCAGUACGUGGGUGACACAUGUCAAGCGAAUGAGAAGGGUAAGGGGCACGAUCGUCCAAAUUCUUCGGGCGAACAGUUUUCGCCGUGGCUAUAAAUACCCCCUUCCCCUUCCUCACUUCCUUUACUCCGCUCGACCUCUCUCCAGCUCGAGCUUCUCAAACCCUAGCGCCGCCGCUACUUCAUCGUUGCCGGUGAGGAAAAUCUUCACUGCCUCGACCUCAUCGCCGUCGUACUCGCGCCAGCCGCGGAAAUCUUCACUCCGCUGCCGCCGUAGCCGUCUUCCUCCGCCAAGUUAGGGCGUGGAAGAUCUGCACUGACGAACUUCACAUCUCCACAUUCCAGUUCUUCGUGUUCUUCGUCCAGGGUAAUUAAAAGUUACUUUUACUGCCCUCUUUGAUUCAAAUGAUUUCUACAAAAUCCUAAAAGGUGUUUUUCUUCAUAUCUUCACACACUAAAACACCUCACAUGUCAUCUGUUCUUGAUUCGUUUCUCUAAGCUAUGUUAUUCUUCAAGAUUCCUCAAAUGUGUGGAUUUUCGAUCUAUACAUCUCUGGAAACUAAGACAAAGAAUGCUUAGUGAAAUUCUUCAAGACUCGUCUGGUCAAAUUCCUUAAACUUGUUCUUUAUAAAAACCUUCUGAGAACGCAUAUGACCUCUCCAAAUUCCUCACAACUAUACUCUGUUCACAGGUACUCAUGUCAGCUGCUGAAUCACUAGGUUCUCAUCAACUUAACUCAUUUGCAGCGUUCCUUGAAGAAAAGUUGCAUACUUAUUCAGAGAAUUCAAUUGUUCAAAUUCCUCAACUGAAGAAAAUGGCUGAUGGUUAGAAGCCACAUAAAGGAGGAAAGAGGCCUGAGGUCAACACUGCCUUUGAAAUACCCGAGGACAUAUAUGCUGGGUACUGCACACCCCCUGAGGAAGAUAAAAAUCAGCGCAAGGUGCGCAUUCAAAAGAUUGAGAGGAGAUGGGCAAGAGAGUGGAGAGAGUACAGAUAUGUCACUCCCAAAUAUAUGAAGAAAUUUGCACUAAAUCCUCCAUGCCCAAGACCUCCAUUGGCACAUGGUCAAAUAGCUGAUCCCACCAGCCUCAAGCGUGGUGAGGAUUAUCCUGAUGAAUGGGCCAAGCGCGAGGCCAAGUUGGCCAAACAAGCAAAAGAUGCAGUGAGGAAAUUCAACGAAGACUCUGCUGUCGUUGCUGCUGUUGAGGCCUCUAUAAAGCCGAAGAAGGCCAUGCCAACGAAGCCUGCUCACAAGCCCAGUGCUUCACCAGCAAUGCCCUCACGGCCGAGUUCCUCAGCUAUGCCCUCACGGCCAGAUUCCUCAAAGCCCUCACGGCCAAUUCCUCACGUUGCUCCUGCUCCUACAAAAUCUUCAGCUCCUCCGCCAAAGUUUUCGGCUGCUCCGACCAAAUCCUCAGCACCUGUGCAUCUCGCCAUGUGCCAAAGGACCACAGGCAUAUCUAUUGCCUCAGGAGCCUCUGCAAGUUCCUCACCUGCUCCAAGUCCUCAGCUGCUCCCUCUCUUCUGAAGAAGAAGACCACUACUAGACGAGGUCCUCGACCAAGUCCUCACAAGAAACAAGUUGCUUUCCAAGUGCCCUCUGAUGAUGAUGAGGCUGAUGAUGAAGAACUAGCAGAAAUCAUCAGAGACAGGCAAGUCUGGGCCGCUAGAGCCAAGGGCACAAGUGUGCCUCUACUUUUGGAUCCAAAGUUGAUCCUUGAGUACAUUGACUUAUGGCACAAGGACCCAAAUACUCCCAUGCCUGAUUUCAAGCUGACACCUGGCCAAAGUCAUAUGUUGACUCAUUUCAUACAAGAAGAAAAAUGGAAGUUUGAGAAGGCCAGGCAGAUCAAGAAAGCACAUACAAAAAGAAGCGCUACCUGAAGAAAAAUGUUGUCUUUAUGACAACCGAAGAACUAGUCAAUAUACGGUCUAAGAUCAAGAAACUCAGUGAUGAAUUUGACGCAUACCAUGCUGAUUGGCUGGGAGCCAAGGUUUGUUUUGUGAGACUUGCUGACAACUUCACCUCAAAUGUUGUAGCCCCAACGCAAUAGGAAAUCCCUCAGGCUGAAGCAUCUGCUCAGCCGACUGAAGAAAAUGCCAGCACCGCUGAUGACAAUCAGGUUGCUGAAGAAAAUGUGAGUUCCAGGGCUGAUGACUGCAUUCCAGCCGCUGAUGAAAUUGUGAGGGCAUCCACUAGUGGUGCGCCUGAAGAAAAUGAAGAAGUCAGGGCAACUACAUCAGUUGCGCAUGAAGAAAUUCAACCCAAUUCCUCUGCUCCUGCGCCUACACCAACCCCGAUCCUUCCAUCUGCAUCAGAUGUGAAGAAAACUAAGGCUGCAGAGCAUGCAACGGUGAAGAAAAGGAAGGCAUCAACUGCAUUAGAUUCUUCAGCUCAGAAGAAGAUGAAGCCACUGACUAGCUUGUUUGCAAAUCCAAUUGAUGUUGUUCCUAUCCCAACCAUGGCAUCAAAGGACCUUGUUCCUUUUGAUGAAGAAUAUGUGAUUCCAAGUGAAUCCGAUGAAGAGAAUCCCUCUGCUGCUUCGUCAGAGCAGAUGGAUGAAGAAAUUGAAGUGGAUACAAUCCCUUCAACACCAGUUGUCUCCUCGCCUAUGCCUCAGUUUACUGCUGAAGAGGCCGGCGUUGAAGAAAUGGGAGAUGAAGAUGUGUACAUUGGCUAUACCACACCUGUGCUAAGUGAUGAAUUUUGGGAAAGUCAGCACCCCAACUCUCCACUCUUCACACCAUUGCAACAAAUUCCUCAGUCCCCAGUAACUACUGUACAAAUGGGAUCUGAUGAACCACAUGCCACACCGUCUGUCCAUGAAGAAAUUCCAGCCACUAGUGCCGAAGAUCAUGUGAAUGAAGAAUUGAAGUCCCAAGCUGCCACUGAAGCAGUACCUGAAAUUCCUCAGCCUGUGGAACCUGAGAUCGAGAUUUCGGAGGUUGUGAUGCAAUUGACUGACACUCCUCACCCAAGCCAAAGGAUCCAUUCUCAAAGAAGUAGAAAUUCAAGGCUGAUGAUUUCUUUGGCGAGCACGUGUUCUUCACUGACUACACUCCUUAUGACUCUGCUCGUCUAAGGAGGAAGCGUUUCUGGACUGCAAGCCAGGCCAACUUCUAUUCUUCACUGCUUUUCAACAAAGACAAAAUCUUCUGCCAUGAGCAUAUUCCUCACGUGGACAUGGAAUCAUUACCUUGCUUCUCUCAUGUGCUCAGUGUUCUUCAUGAUGCAGGCCUCCUCAACUUUUGCUCUGACAUUGCUGAUUGGAAUGAAGAGCUUAUCCUUCAGUUCUACGCUACAUUGCAUAUCACAGGUGAUCCUGAAGAUAUCAACACCUGGGUCUUGGAAUGGAUGACCGAAAAUACUCACUAUAAGGCACCGACCUCUGAAUUGCUUCACGCCCUGCCCAUCAGUCCACCCAGUGAAGGAGCUCGCUGCCUGUAUCAUGAACCAGAACUCACAGCUCAUUACAUGCAAGUGUUAAUGAAGCCUUUGAAGCCCGGUCAAGCCCCAAGGACCAAACUCCUCAUGAAGGAUUUACUCUAUGUGCCCAGAACUGUCUAUCGCAUUCUAACGAGGACAAUGAGUCUCAUCAAAGGCCAUGACUCAUCUGAUGAGAAAAUAGUUGGGAUCAUGAAGAAUCUGCUAUUCAACAUCAUUCAUAGCAUUCCUAUCAAUUAUCACGAUUUCUUCAUGAGGACUCUGGAAAAUGCUGCACUUUCUCCAUUUGAGCUGAAACCUUAUGUACCUUGGAUUAUGAGAUUCCUCAGGACAAGGUCUUCACUCAACUACAAGGCUGAUUUUUAGAAUCACCUUAGCUAUCUGCCCCCAAUUGAAGUCCUCAAGCAGGCUUUUACUUCAACUGAUGAAAAGGGCAAGGCUCCUACUGUCAUUGAUGAAGGCAUUCGUCCAUUGGAUGGUCAGUUUCGCAAAGUUGCAUCUUAUUCCACCAAUGAUGACUCUGCCACACAUGACUCUGCUGCCAAUGCACCCAAGUCUACUCCUCAAGCCACUGCUCCUCGUGUGAUGACUAACCGUGAGCUUCUGCUUAGUCUUCACCAGAAGGUGGAUCGAAACCAUAAAUGGGUUAAGCGUCAGUUUGGUUCAUUUCUUCACAACAUGACUGCUACACACAAUGUAGUGAAGAAAAACCAUUACUACCUCCAUGAAGUCUUCGGUCGCACCUGGGCUAUUCUAUCACAUCUGUAUGGUGAAGAAGAUCUCAAGAAAAUGGGUCUUAAGGAAGAUUUUGACUGGUCUGCACCUCCACCGAAGAAAUUCAAGAAGGUCAAGGUUCCUUAUUUGGUGUCCAGCUCAUAUUCUUCAUCACGCGAUACCAACGAGCACGAAGACUUGGACGACACUGCGGCAGGCCCUUCCACGACAAACGCGCCCAACAACGCUGGUGCUCCUUCAUCAACUUGAUCUUCUUGAGGGGCGUUAGUCCUCAUUUUCGAUUCUUUUGGUCAUUCGAUGACAAAUGGGGAGAAUUUUGAGUUAGUCUUCAAGCGGGUCUGUCUAUAUGGGUGUUUUUUUAUAAAGUUACAACUCUCGUUCUUCUGAAACUUUAUUGGAUCGAGUUGUAAACUUAAACCUGAUGGUGCUCUGAUACUCUUGAUGUGUUUUUCUGCAUGCUUAUUCCUCAUAUAUGUUAAUGCACGCAUGCUGAAUUACAUCAGUCACCAUAUUUCAUCAUGCAUUGCAAAUUCUUCAUUAUGAUAUGUCAAAUGUGUGUAUGAAUUACAAGAUAUAGGGGGAGAUCUCCAUUAUUCUAUUCUACAAAGUGUGCAAUGCUUCAAAAGAAAAUUCCUCACUAUGCACAUCUUCAGGGGGGAUUUCUUCUAUAUCUUGCAAUCAAAUUCCUCAAUAUCAGUAUUUACACUUCAUAUGUUUAUCCCCGUUGAAAACUUAACCUAUAUUGUCAUCAAUCACCAAAAAGGGGGAGAUUGUAAGUGCAUCUAGUGCCCCUUAGUGAUUUUGGUGUAUUGAAGACUUAUAGGUUAAGGGACUAAUGUGUUUAUGAGUGUACACAGGUCGAUAAGUCUAUGAGGAGUUUGAUAUUUACAGAAAAAGUCGACCCCUAAAAAAUGAAGUUCUUUGACUGAAGACUGAGAAUUUCUGAAGACUUUGAAAGUGAAGAAAUUGGUGUGACCUUUGAAGACUUGGCAUUCAUUCGAGGAACAUGAAGCGUGAAGACUUUUGUUUUUGUAGUUCCUUUUUCUCUUUCUUGAGUCAUAGGAAACACCGUACUGUUAAAGGGGGUCGAGAAAAUACUAAGGAAAAAUUUCCAUGUGAUGCUCAACUCAAAAUCCUACACCUACCAAUCCCUUCGAGUGAAGCCAUUGGAAAUCUCAUACAGUUCAGUCAUAUUCCUCAGUGACAGAGACAAAGUUCUUCUGGUCUCCGAGGAAUUUGUUCUGACUGAGGAGUUAGGAAUUCGCCAGUGCGGAUUGCCUACACAGUGAGGAACAUGAUAACCCUGAGGAAUUUGAUACUCAAAUUUCUGACUGUUGCUGUGCUAUGCACCAGCUAUCCCAAAAUAUCUAUCCACCUAAGGGUCAUAUCAUUGAAGGGCAUUUAUGUCUUAUCAUGUCGGGCUGCUCCCUAGGCUAUAAAUAGCCGCCCCCUACAACCACUAGCUGGUUGGCUGCUCCGAGAAAAACCAACACUUGUCAUUUGAGAGCAUCCCAUCCUCCGAGGACUUUGAGCGAAAAUCAUCAAGUGAGGAAAACCCAAACCCAAUCAACUACAAACCCAAAGUGAUUGAGCAUCACUAAAGAGAUUGAUCCUACAUGGAUCCGACGCUUGUUACCUUUGAAGACUGUGCUUCUUCCAGACGGUUAGGUGUCAUGGUCUAGAGCAUCCAAGAGCAAUUGUGGAUCGCUGAGUGACCAAGUUCGUGAAGGUUCAGAAGUCACUUGAAGACUGUAAGGACAUAUUUAUCCCUAAGUGUUUUGGUGAUUGAUGACAACACAUUUGCGGACUAAUCGUGUGCCAUGAGUAUUCCAGACACUUCUUUGCUAGGCACAAGACGAUUGGGUGCCCCUCGAAGACUGACGAAGACGACGUCUUUUCUACAUUUCUUUUUGGUGGAUUUGAGUCGUAGGAAAGCCGUACUAUUAAGAGGGGGUCCGCGUUGGAAAGGUUUGGGUGGAAUCAUCACGUACACGUCUCUUUUUAUCCCCUCCUUCUUCCUUGGAGCUUCCUCCGUUUUCCUGCCUCCUGUGACUCGCUGCUGUUGUGGUUGCGGUAGUACUGCUCCUGGAUCAAUGGUAGUACCGUAGGCAUCCACGGUAGUACCGCGCGGUGGCGCGGUAGUACCGCUCCCCUGGAGCCGCACUACUGCUGCCCACCAGGCUAGUGCCGCCUCUUUGUGGUAGUAGGAGCGGAUGUAAUUUUUUACAUCCGCACCUGCCGCGGUAGUACCGCUUUCGCCGUGUGGUAGUACCGCGCUAUGCGGUCAGGCAGUAGUACCGCCCCUCGGCAGUACUACUGUGUCGGGUUUUUGCUACUUCCGUUUUUUUGCGGAAGUAGGCACGGAAGUUUCCCUUCCCCCUGGCUGGGACUUUUGCCUUGCGGUAGUACCGCAUGGGGGGCGCGGUAGUACCGCGCGUGCGGAAGUACCGCCCCCAGCUUCUGUGCGUCUGUUUCUGUGCUGGGGUUGCGGCAGUACCGUGGGUCGGUACGGUAGUACCGCACAGCCGUGCGGUAGUACCGCUUGGUUGCAAGCAGUAGUACCGCGCGGCCUUGCGGUAGUAUCACUGGCCAGGCGUGGUAGUACCGCUGGCCGCGGGCUGGUUGGUGGGUAACGGUUGGAUCUUUUCCACACACUAUAUAAGGGGUCUCCUUCUUUCCCGUUGACUUACCUCUUCCACCAUUAAAGCUCCAUUAUUGCUCCAAGCUCCAUUUUCGCCCGAUCUCACUCCCUAGCCAACCAAACUUGUUGAUUUGCUCGGGAGUGGUUGAGAAGGCCCUGAUCUACACUUCUACCAAGAGAUAUUUGAUUCCCCCUACUAAUCCCUUGCGGAUCUUCUUACUCUUGGGUGUUUGAGCAUCCUAGACGGUUGAGGUCACCGCGAAGCCAUAGUCCAUUGUGGUGAAGCUUCGUGGUGUCAUUGGGAGCCUCCAAUUGAGUUGUGGAGAUUGCCCCAACCUCGUUUGUAAAGGUUCGGUCGCCGCCUCCAAGGGCACCAAUAGUGGAAUCACGGCAUCUCGCAUUGUGUGAGGGCGUGAGGAGAUUACGGUGGCCCUAGUGGCUUCUUGGGGAGCAUUGUGCCUCCACACCGCUCCAACGGAGACGUACUUCCUCUCAAAGGGAAGGAACUUCGGCAACACAUCCUCGUCUCCACCGUCUCCACUCUUGGUUAUCUCGUGCCUUUACUUGUGUAGCUUAUUUGUUUCAUAUAUCUUGCUUGCUUGUGUUCCUAUUCGUGUUGCAUCAUAUAGGUUGCUCAUCUAGUUGCAUAUUUAGACAACCUACUUUGAUGCAAAGUUUAAAUUGCUAAAGAAAAGCUAAAAUUUGUUAGUUGCCUAUUCACCCCCCUCUAGUCAACCAUAUCGAUCCUUUCAAUUGGUAUCAGAGCCUCGUCUCUUUAUUAAGGACUUUACCGUCCAAAGAGUAUGGUUGAUACCGUAGACGGUGCGGAGGAACACUCCGGUGUGAAUCCUAUCUCAUCUACGGGCGAUGGGGGAACCUCGGUCUCUCGUGAGGAGUUCAAUGUGGCCUUGGAGACAUUGAAAACCUCCAUGACGACCAAAGUUGAGAGCAUGUUUACUAAAUUUCUUGAGGGGCUUAAACUAUCCACUACACCAUUGAAAGUGGGUGAUCCCGCCAACAAGGUGACGGAUGCUAUCCCCGACAAGGGGGAAGCUAGUAGUGAAAAGGCUCCUUCUUCUAGUGGUAAGAAUGGCACUGGCAUCUUUGCCCAUGUGGAACCACCACUUGUUUAUGGUGGACCGAUUCCUUCCACUCAUUUGAAUCAUGCCGGUCCUCCUCCUAAGAUUGUGAAAAAUGAGGACUUUGAUUCUUGGGUUUACCGCUUUAAACGUCAUUUAAAUCAUGUGAACACUAACCUUUGGAGAAUCAUUGAAGAAGGUUUUUAUCCGCAUGAUCCAAGCAACUUCACUCCUCGAGAAGCCACGGAUAAUCAAUUCAAUGAGAAUGCUCUCUUCAUCAUUCAAGAUGCAAUUCCACCCGAAGACCUACCUCAUCUUCGUCCCUUUGCCUUGGCCAAAGAUGCAUGGCAUUGUGUUGUCUCUCUCUAACAGGGAAGCGCAAGCAUUCAACGCUCCGAUUAUGAAGUGGUUCAAGAUGAGGCCGAUGAGUUUGCAAUGAAAGAAGAUGAAGAACCUCGUGAGCUUUAUCGGAGAGUAACCAAAGUCGCGGUGUCUCUACGAGAUCACGGGAGCAAGGACACGGAUGACAAUUGGAUCAAGCGCAAAUUCCUCAAGUCAAUGAUGCCCUAUCACAAGGCCAUGUCCUCCGUCAUUCGCCAAAGACCGGACUUCCACACUUUGACCUCAAGCGAAGUGUUGGAUGAGUUUGUGGCCAUGAACAUUUUGGACAAGACCGCCGACAAUGCGGUGCUCCGUUCUCAACGGGCAAAGAAGCCUAACCUAGCAUUGAAGGCCAAGCUCACCGUGGAAGAAGAAGAAGAGGAAGAAGAGGAGAGCAACCCCGAAGAUAUGAAGUAUGCAUAUCAUGAACACAUGGCACUUGCUUCAAGGCAAUUUUGGAGCAAGAAAAACUCGAGGCCAAACUUUAGCAAAAGCAACUCGAGUGGCACAAGGGGCAAGCAACGUGUAAGGACUUGCUACAAUUGCGGCAACAUGAGUCAUUUCAUUGCAGAAUGCCCGUAUGAGAAGAGGGAAGACAAUGGUGGCAAGCUCAUCCGAAAGGACAAGGCCAAGUCGUUCCCCAACAAGAACAACUUCACCAAGAAGACUCCUCCCAAGGCUUUGGUUGUGCAAGAAGAGUACAAUGAGGAUGAUGAUGAUGAUGAAGAUGGUGAGUCGGUUGCCAUGGCCUCCGUUGGCAUUGCAACAACGUCACGGGUGUCUCUCUUCGACUCACCCAAUGAGAGCAUCACCGCCAAGUGCCUCAUGGCUAAAGCCACCAACAAGGUAACCUCCAACAUCAAAACUACCAUCAUUAACCAUCCUUCCCCGACAGAUAGCAUUAAUGAACUUGAGGAAGCUAAUGUGGAGGCUAAUGAGUUUGAGGCCUUUAUGGGAAAACUCAAGGGAAAAUCCAAGAAGCACUUUGUUGCUCUCUUGGAACAACUUGGUGAAGCCAAUGACAUGAUCGAGGCUCACGAAGACACCAUCUCUAAGAUGGAAGGGCAUAGUCGUGACUAUGCCGAUGAGAUUUCGGAUCUUUCCAAUGCUCUUGAGGAAGAGCGUGGUCUUCGUUUGGCUCUUGAGGAGUCACACAAUGUUGAUCAUGCUAAGUUAAAGAAAGAUUAUGAUCAUGUCCUCAUUGUUUCUCGUGUGCUAAAUUCCGAGAAGGCCAAACUCGAGGUUGAUCUUGCUAGACUCAAAGAGGAGUUUGAUAUACUUGACAAGGCCCACAAGGUCUUGAAGGGUAUUCACGCUAGUCUCAAGGAGUCUCAUGAUCAACUCCAAGUGAAGCUAACUAAGGAGAAAGCAACUUUUCCUCAUAUGGUUUUAAUUGAUAAUGCAAAUGCUACUAACCCGUGUUGUGAGCAUAUACAUCUUGUUGAGGAAAAUGCGAAGUUGAAGGAGCAACUUGAGAGAGGUCUUGCGACUUGCAUACAAGGCAAGAAGAACCUCAACGAUCUCUUGAUCAACCAAAAGGGAGGUGUGGCCAAGGAAGGGGUUGGGUACGUGCCCGACUCCAAGAACAAGAAGAAGAAUGACAAGACCAAACGACCUCCUCCCCUCAUGCAAACCUUUGUGAGGGAGGGAGAGAGUGCCCCCAAGGAGAAGAAGAAGAACAAUGUCAAGAAGGGCAAUGCCACCCCUCUCAACAAAGCCGGCGAUUUUAACCCUUCUUAUGUGUUAUGCCGUGCUAGUGAUGGGCAUGUUUAUGCCAAAUUUGUUGGUUCUCUUCAUGAAUACAUUGAAUGGUCUAUUUGGGUUCCAAAAACCCUUGUUACUAACAUCAAAGGACCCAUUACAAAAUGGGUACCUAAAACCAAGCAUUGAUCUCUUGUAGGUGUUUGCUUCUGGUGGGGGAUCAUGGUUGCUCGAUAGCGGAGCUAAAAAUCAUAUGACAGGAAGCAAAGACUUGGUGGUGGACGUGCACAAGGUUCCAUCUAUGCCCACCAAUGUCGAGUGGGAUGACGCCUCAUCUUCUAAGGUAUUGGGACUUGUCAAGGUGGUCAUCUCUCAUGAUCUCACGAUCGAGAAGGUCAUGCUUGUUGAGUCCCUUGCGUACAAUUUACUUUCCGUUCGUCAACUUGCUAUCAUGGGCUUUGCCACUUUCUUUGAUAUCGAUACCGUGGACCUCUUGUGGAGCAAGACUCUUAAAGUAGCUUUUGUUGGGCAUGUCGAGAACGGUCUAUAUGUGAUUAAAUUUUCGGAGCGACCCACUAAGACCGCGACAUGCCUAAUGGCUAAAGUUGAUGUGGGAUGGCUUUGGCAUCGCCGUUUAGCCCAUGUCAAUAUGAGAUCUUUGCAAAGUCUCCUCAAGGGGGACCAUGUCCGUGGACUAACGAAUGUUAGUUUUGCUAAAGAUCGUGCUUGCAGUGCCUGUAUCGAAGGAAAGCUACAUGAGAAGGCUCACCCUCCCACUACUAUCAUUUAUUCAAAGAGGCCUUUAGAGCUCCUUCACAUGGAUCUCUUUGGGCCUCCAUCCUUCGAUAGUCUUGGAGGUAGGAAGUAUUGCUUGGUGAUUGUGGAUGACUACUCAAGGUACACGUGGGUGUAUUUCUUCAAGAGGAAGAGCGAGACCCAACAAACCGUCAUUGACUUUGCAAAUGAAGCACAAUGUCAACACAAUGCAAAGAUCUUGACAAUAAGAAGUGACAACGGCACCGAGUUCAAGAACUACACCUUGGAUGAGUUUCUUAGUGACGAGGGGAUCAAGCAUCAAUAUUCCACACCCUACACCCCUCAACAAAACGGUGUUGCGGAGAGGAAGAACCAGACGUUGAUGGAUGCGGCAAGGGCCAUGAUGGCGGAGUUCAAGCCUUCGUACAACUUUUGGGCCGAAGCCAUCAACACCGCGUGUCAUGCAUCAAAUCGGCUCUACCUCCACAAGGGCUUGAACAAGACUCCAUAUGAGAUAGUCACCGGUAACAAGCCCAACCUCAAGUACUUCUGGGUAUUCGGGUGUAAGUGUUUCAUUCUCAAGAAAGGUGUUCGGUUGUCUAAAUUUGAGGCUAGAGCUUAUGAGGGCAUAUUUGUUGGUUAUGCUACAAACUCUCAUGCUUACCAUGUCCUCAAAAUCCACGGGACUUAUUGAGGAGACGUGUAACAUGGUGUUUGAUGAGAAUAACGGCUCCCAAGUGGAGCAAAGUGGCACUUGUGAUGUAGGUGAUGAAAUUCCUCCUCAAGCCAUAAGAAGAAUGGGUGUUGGUUUUAUCCUACCCAUUGAGGAACCCCUUGUGGCCGACGGAGAAGGACAAUGCUCCACUCAAGUGGAGCCAUCACCAACCCAAGGCCCACACGCUUCCGAAGAACAAAGUGAAGGCCCUCAACCUCAUGAACAAGACCAAGGGCAUGAUCAUACUCAAGACGGUGUGGACACACCAAGUGAUGCCCAAGGUCAAGAUCUCCCCCGAGCAAGUUCAAGAUCAAGAACAAGUUCAUGACGGCGCUCAAGAUGAUCAAGUAACCGCUCCUCAACUCACCACCAAGGAGGAAUUAGAGCGUCGUGCCGCCAAGGUUGCUUCCAAGCUCUCCACCAAGGAUCAUCUCAUGACGAAUGUGCUUGGAAGCUUAAGAAAGGGGGUAAGCACUCGUAGAAAAUUAGCAAAUUAUUGUGAGCAUCACGCAUUUGUCUCUUGUGUGGAACCCCACAAGGUCUAUGAGGCGCUAGAAGAUCCGGAUUGGCUCAAUGCCAUGCAUGAAGAACUCAACAACUUCGAGCGCAACAAAGUGUGGAGAUUGGUGCCAAGACCGACCGGAAAUCACAAUGUCAUAGGAACCAAGUGGAUAUUUAAGAACAAGCAAGAUGCCCAUGGAAUCAUCAUUCGCAACAAGGCUCGUUUGGUAGCAUAAGGCUACUCCCAAGUCGAGGGUAUCGACUAUGGUGAAACCUCUGCUCCCGUUGCUCGUCUUGAAUCCAUUCGCAUGUUGAUUGCAUAUGCUUCUCAUCAUAACUUUAAGUUACAACAAAUGGAUGUGAAGAGUGCUUUUCUUAAUGGUCCCAUUAAUGAAUUGGUUUACGUCAAGCAACCCCCUGGUUUCGAGGAUCCCUACUUUCCCGAUCAUGUGUAUCAACUCGAUAAGGCACUCUAUGGCCUUAAACAAGCCCCACGGGCGUGGUAUGACCACCUUACCGAGUUGUUACAAGACCGUGAUUUUGAAGUUGGGCUAAUCGACCCCACUCUUUUUACUAAGAAGGUCAAAGGGGAGUUGUUUGUGUGCCAAUUAUAUGUUGAUGAUAUUAUCUUUGGUUCUCCUAACAAAGCUUUCAAUGAGGAAUUUGCCGCUCUCAUGACCUCAAAGUUCGAGAUGUCCUCCAUGGGAGAGUUGAAGUUCUUUCUAGGGUUCGAAGUGAAGCAAAGAAGAGAAGGAACUUUCAUCAAUCAAUCCAAAUACACUCAAGACAUGCUCAAGAGAUUCAAGCUAAGUGACGUCAAGCCGGCUUCCACUCCAAUGCCCACCAAGUGCCAACUUGACUUAGAUCUCAAUGGUAAAGUGGUGGAUCAAAAGGUAUAUCGUUCCAUGAUUGGAUCCUUGCUUUACCUUUGUGCAUCUAGACUGGACAUCAUGUUGAGUGUGGGAAUUUGUGCACGGUUUCAAGCCGCACCUAAGGAAAGUCACUAUGUGGCAGUCAAACGAAUCUUUCGAUAUUUGGCUCAUACCCCAAACUUUGGCUUAUGGUACCCAAGAGGAUCAAACUUCAAGCUUGUAGGGUACUCGCAUUCCGAUUGGGCGGGAGACAAAGUGGAUAGGAAGUCCACUUCCGGAGGGUGCCAAUUCCUUGGUUGCUCUUUGGUAAGUUGGUCUUCCAAAAAGCAAAGUUGUGUGUCUCUCUUGUCCACCGAAGCGGAGUAUGUGGCGGCCGGUAGUUGUUGUGCACAACUCUUAUGGAUGAGGCAAACUUUAAAGGAUUACGCUGUCACUUGUGACAAAGUGCCUCUUUGGUGUGACAAUGAAAGUGCCAUCAAGAUCUCUCUCAACCCGGUGCAACACUUCAAGACGAAGCAUAUUGAGAUCCGGUAUCACUUCAUCCGGGAUCACAUUAGGCGAGGGGAGAUCAAGCUCAACUACGUCAACACUCAUGAUAACCUUGUAGAUAUCUUCACGAAGCCCUUGGACGAAGCAAGAUUUCGCGAGUUAAGGCAUGAGCUAAAUAUCAUCGAUUCGAGCAAUGUUGCUUGAACCCUUGCACACCCCACCAUACUCAACGUGUUGUCCUAUUUAGAUGUAGGCAUGGACAUAGGGGGAGUGAUGUUCUCUCAAUGAACUCUCCCUCCUCCAUUAUGCAUAAAUCAAUCAAGUCUUUCACAUUAGCCAUGUUUGAUGGUACUUGUGCUUCAAAGACGAGUUUUGGUCAUGGACCCAAGGAUAAUUCUUCGCGGUGCCAUACCAAUUGACUCAAACAUAGGUGCCUACGGCCACCGCCCUCUCUUUUGGAGAGGUGGUGUCUUUCUGGUUUUGUGUGUUGCGUGGUCUUGUGGUGUCGUGUUGGCUCAGAGUGGAUUGUGCAAAGAUCCAGUUUUUCGUGUGCUCGAAACGUGCAUCUUCUUGAGCCCACGGUACUACUGCGUCUGGGCGCGGUACUACGCUUUGGGAGGCACGGUACUACCGCUCUGGUGCGGUACUACCGUGUCUGGGCACGGUACUACCGCGCCGUCAAGGGCGCGUGGGGGGUUAUGACUCGGGCAGGGGAGUUCCAACUCCCCAUACCCAUUCAUUGUCUCUCUCCCCACGUCUCUCCCUCUCAAGAACGGCGCCGGAGGCCCUCGCCGGAUCUCCGUCUCCGGCCACUCUCCUCGGAUUCCGACCGGUGGGAUCGUUCCCCACCACUUCCUCUUGCCAUGGACCAAGGUUUUUCCCCAAAUCCCUCUUUUUCUUGGCUGUUCUCUUGCUUCCUAGGUUUUUGGGGAGAUACUUGUUGUUCUUGAGAUUUUAGGCCAAAUCUAUGCAAGAGUAGGAUGUAGGAGAGUCGUGAUGCGUAGGAAACAUACUUGAUAUGCUGUCUUGUGGUAGCUUUGUCCAACCGUAGUACCGCCGUGGUUUCGCGGGCUUUUUCCAGAUUUGAACCUGUUCAGAUCUAACGCCGCGCGGUACUACCGUGCCUGAUGUGCGGUACUACCGCUCUUGCGGUACUACCGCCCGUCAGGUGCGGUACUACCGUACCGUGCGGUACUACCGCUCUGCAGACGCGGUACUACCGCGCCGGCCGCGACGCUAAGGUCGUACUACUGCUCCUACACCCGGUACUACCGUGAUCUUGCACGGUACUACCACGUCUAAGAGCCGUACUACUAUCUUAGCUCCGCAUCACUUGGCAGUACUACCGCAGGGAUCAAAUCUCUCUCUAGGCAUUUAUCAUGUGUGCUUUCUGCUUGUUUCACUUGCGUUGUUGUGGUCUUUGCAUUAACCUCUCGUGGCUGUUGUGGGUGUUUUUGCGUUCUGUGUCUCAGGUGGUGGCUCUUGCCGUUCCAAUCCCAGUCAUGACACUGGCUCCAAGCAUCUGCGCAACCCCCAAGAUGAAGCCACAGAGGGCUCCAAUGCCCCCAAGCGCAAUGUCAAGACCACUGCCAGCAAGCAAAAGGAACCGGCUAAGGGCAUGGACGAGAUUUCAACCACUAAGUAUGUCGAGCGCUGGAAGAUCAAUCCCUAUGUGAAUCCUCGGGCUAUCCUCAGAGGCACCGAGUUGUUCUGGACCAAGCAACAUGCUCUCAUCUAUCUGGAUGUGAUCAAGAACAAGCAGAAUACCUUCGUGGAUGUCAAGUGGAUAGACAUGCAUCACCUGCGGAAGGACAAGUUUCGUGACUAUUUUGGAGAGGCUCUGGACUUGGUGGAGCAGUUUGCUAUUGAGCCGGUGAUCUCCUUUCACCUUGACUAUGACCCUGAGCUCAUCUGUCAGUUCUUUGCAUCAGUGUACUUUCAUCCCGGGGAGUAGCGGAGGAUGACCUGGAUGACCAAUGGCCGUCAGCUGUCUGCUGCAUGGAAAGAGUUCAUGGAUCUGCUGCACAUUCCUGAUGAUGGGCUUCACACCCCCGUUGGCGUUCGCCCCCAUGCCAACUCUGAGUCUGCCAACAAGAACCAGCUUCAGCCCUUCCUUGUUGAGAAGGUACUCCCCAAUGGCAAGUCAUCUUGGGUGUUAAACUCCUUUCUGGAUAUCAUGCAUCGCAUCUUCCACAACACUCUGUUCCCACGCAUUGGCGACAAGGACAAGGUACAUGCAUAUCUAGUGGACAUGUUGCUCUUGUGUGCAGAGGCACAUUCUUCUCAGACUCAGCCACUUGAUGUCUCACACAUCAUGUGGUGUGAGCUUCGGUUUGCGGUGUUCACUCGCAAGGUACCUAUCUAUGGACUGUACCUGUUUCUGCUGCUCUCCACCACUUGGGAGAAGACGUAUCCAGGUGAUGAGUUCCUUGCUCCAGACUGGAUUCGCCAUGAGUCCAUCAGCCUCCGCGUCAAGCCCAACUGGGCCAACACCACUACCCGUGCUGAGGCAUCUUCUGCUAGGAGGGCUGCUGGUGAGGGGGAGGCUGCUGCUGCUGAGACUGUUGCUGAGGACCGUGCUGCUAGGUCCACCACUUCUUCCUCUGAGCCGUCAUGGGCCAAGAAGCUGAAGGACAAGAUGAAGACUCUCUUCUGCAUGCAGGCGAAGGGAUAGUACAGGGCUCACGUGGCUGACAAGAAGGUGAUGAGGCUCUAUGGAGAGGAUGUGUCUGGCGGGUCUGAGGAUGUCAUCACACCUGAGGCUGCCUGGAUGUCAAAGCAGGGCUACAAGUGGAUCAGUUCAGAGGAUGACCUCGAGGAGACUAUCCCCGCCGCUGAGUCUGACGAGGAGCACGAGGAGCAGUGGGACGACUUCUCUGCCUGAGCCACCCCAUGUGUGUAGGUGUCCUCUCUGCCUUUUUGGCGUCUCGAUGCCAAAGGGGGAGAGAGUGUAGGGAUUUGCGUUGUGUCGUGCUUGGUGUGUUUGUUUGCUUUGUCGUUUGGACCUCGUUUGCCUCGUUUGCUUUUGUUUGGUUUGUGCCUUCGAGACCUAUCCUCCAUAUGGUGUAAGACAUAUGCACUCUAUCUAUCUAAGUUAUCUUAUGUUUGUACUAUCUUGUCUAGUGAUAGAUAUGCCUUGUCUCUAUAAUAUAGGGGGAGCUCUGUUCCUAGUAUUCGUGCUCAUCUAGGUGGAACACAUUUAGGGGGAGCCCGUCUAUAUUAUAGAGAGGAGGGGUUUGCAUUUACUUAAUAGUAUUUUCUUUGUGCAAAUAUCGUUUUGUCAUCAAUCCACCAAAAAGGGGGAGAUUGUAAGGACAUAUUUAUCCCUAAGUGUUUUGGUGAUUGAUGACAAUGCAUUUGCGGACUAAUCGUGUGCCAUGAGUAUUCCAGACACGUCUUUGCUAGGCACAAGACGAUUGGGUGCCCCUCGAAGACUGACGAAGACGGCGUCUUUUCUACGUUUCUUUUUGGUGGAUUUGAGUCGUAGGAAAGCCGUACUAUUAAGAGGGGGUCCGCGUUGGAAAGGUUUGGGUGGAAUCAUCACGUACAUGUCUCCUUUUAUCCCCUCCUUCUUCCUUGGAGCUUCCUCCGUUUUCCUGCCUCCUGUCACUAGCUGCUAUUGUGGUUGCAGUAGUACGGCUCCUGGAUCAACGGUAGUACCGUAGGCAUCCACGGUAGUACCGCGCGGUGGCGCGGUAGUACCGCUGGUGCCCACAGUAGUACCGCUCCCCUGGAUCCGCACUAUCGCUGCCCACCAGGCUAGUGCCGCCUCUUUGCGGUAGUAGGAGCGGAUGUAAUUUUUUACAUCCGCACCUGCCGCGGUAGUACCGCUUUCGCCGUGCGGUAGUACCGCGCUAUGCGGUCAGGCAGUAGUACCGCCCCUCGGCAGUACUACUGUGUCGGGUUUUUGCUACUUCCGUUUUUUUGCGAAAGUAGGCAAGGAAGUUUCCCUUCCCCCUGGCUGGGACUUUUGCCUUGCGGUAGUACCGCAUGGGGGGCGCGGUAGUACCACGCGUGCAGAAGUACCACCCCCAGCUUCUGUGCGUCUGUUUCUGUGCUGGGGUCGCGGCAGUACCGUGGGUCAUUACGGUAGUAUCGCACAGCCAUGCAGUAGUACUGCUUGGUUGCAAGCAGUAGUACUGCGCGGCCUUGCGGUAGUACCGCUGGCCAGGCGCGGUAGUACCGCUGGCCGCGGGCUGGUUGGUGUGUAACGGUUGGAUUUUUUCCACACACUAUAUAAGGGGUCUCCUUCUUCCCCGUUGACUUACCUCUUCCACCAUUAAAGCUCCAUUAUUGCUCCAAGCUCCAUUUUCACCCGAUCUCACUCCCUAGCCAACCAAACUUGUUCAUUUGCUCGGGAGUGGUUGAGAAGGCCCCGAUCUACACUUCUACCAAGAGAUAUUUGAUUCCCCCUACUAAUCCCUUGCGGAUCUUCUUACUCUUGGGUGUUUGAGCAUCCUAGACGGUUGAGGUCACCGCGAAGCCAUAUUCCAUUGUGGUGAAGCUUCGUGGUGUCGUUGGGAGCCUCCAAUUGAGUUGUGGAGAUUGGCCCAACCUCGUUUGUAAAGGUUCGGUCGCCGCCUCCAAGGGCACCAAUAGUGGAAUCACGGCAUCUCGCAUUGUGUGAGGGCGUGAGGAGAUUACGGUGGCCCUAGUGGCUUCUUGGGGAGCAUUGUGCCUCCACACCGCUCCAACGGAGACGUACUUCUUCUCAAAGGGAAGGAACUUCGGCAACACAUCCUCGUCUCCACCGUCUCCACUCUUGGUUAUCUCGUGCCUUUACUUGUGUAGCUUAUUUGUUUCAUAUAUCUUGCUUGCUUGUGUUCCUAUUCGUGUUGCAUUAUAUAGGUUGCUCAUCUAGUUGCAUAUUUAGACAACCUACUUUGAUGCAAAGUUUAAAUUGCUAAAGAAAAGCUAAAAUUUGUUAGUUGCCUAUUCACCCCCCUCUAGUCAACCAUAUCGAUCCUUUCAAAGACUUACCACAAGUGAUUGGGUGAGGUCUGUGUGACCUUAGCUCAAGGAGAAUACGGUGAGGACUGUGUGUCCUCAGGUUUAAAUACCUAGCCGCUCCAACCAGAUGUACAAUAGAGACAACAGUUGAACUGGUCUAUCAAAUCAUUGUCUUCACCAAGCUCACUGGUUCUAUUUCCUCAACUCUUUCAUUUCCUCAUAACUGUGUUGAGUGCUUGUUCGUAUCUGUGUUUGAAGACUUUGACUGAAGACUUUCUCAAUUUCCUCAGUUCAAUUUCUUCAGUGUGUUUGUCUUCAUACUGUGUUAUCCUGUGUUUACGCUUUCUGUACUCUGUGCUUGUCUUCUUUUCAUCAUGAUGACUAUGCUUGUGUUCUGUUAUGUUUACUUUUGAGUACUUACUCUGCUGCUAGUAGUUCUUCGCUAAGGAAUUUCCUCACCUGCAAAUUCCCCAGUGAAGAAUUCAUAAAAAUCGCCUAUUCACGCCCCUCUAGUCGAUAUAACGCACUUUCACUUUGUCCAUAGCUUAGUAUGUAUGUAGAACAUGCCAAAUUUUGGUAGUCAGAUGCCAUGUAUUGAUAUAGUAGCUGGAUGUCCAGCUGUAUCAGAAGUUUAUGAUGCAUGUGUAAUAUGGAUUUGAGGUGUGACUGGUCACUGUCCCUGGACGUGCCCAAUCACGUCCACGGACGUUUGAGGGCGCGGAUUUAGUGUAUUCGGUUGUACAUGCUCUAAUGAAGUUGUGAACAUAGGAAAUCCUAAAAUAAAUUCCAAAAAUAUGAACCCGUGUUUAAGAAAAAACUUAACAUGUUUCUUACUUAAAGUUCAAGAUUACAAGGAGAUAAACCACCUAUGGGGGUGGGUUAGCCAUACAUGCUAACGUGCAACCUCAUGGAUGCACCUAUGAGAUAGAGAGUAUGUUCCUUCGUUCGAUGACCAGGCUUCAAAGAUGAUCUUUGCACUCUGAAAAGAGAGUAAAUUCUCUAUGAUGCCACAUACGAUAUGGGCAUAAGCGCCUUUAGUUCCUUCUUUCAGGCUUAUGACUGCUCCUUGACAAUUUCUGGCUACCAAAAUCUUCCAAGCGACGAUCUCCAUAGCGAGACAUACAAAUUAUUUACAACGCGAGACUUCAAGUGUUUUCGCUCCCCUCAAGAACAAUUGUUGAGGCUCAUUUAUAGACAACCUUGUUACUCUUGCAACAACAACUAUCGAAUCCCUAUGUUGGUUCUUCCCCACUGGUGCAUCGACCGUAAUUUUGAUCACUCCCGCCGGCGGUGCAACCUGGUUUUCCUCAAACACCGCUGAUAUAGAAUGUUUAUUCCCUGUUGUUAUGUACUACCUAUUCAAUGUCAUGUACAUAGCACUAGACAAAUGAAUGAAAUGAUAAAGAGUGUUGCUAGAUCUCUUCAUGUAAAGCUUUACGUCUUGCAAACAAAAUGAACCACAAGGUAACGCAACAUUUCACACGUCCCUUUGGCCCCAAUGUCUCAAUUGUGUUAUUGAUGAAGUCGCGUGGGGAGUACUCAGCCGACGUGCUUAUGUGCUCUACCAGGAACUCAUCUGCCAGUGCCCCCACACACCGCAUAACAUUGCAUUCGAUGAGAGAGUGUCUCCAAGAGUCCUUCUCCCCAUGUGAUGUGCACAUACCAUUUGGGUCAUGUUUAGGCAAUGUUGUAUGUUCGCUCUCGGUAAUGUGUACUUUUCUGAUAACCAAAGAUAAAGCCCGAUAUUUUUUGGUACCUUAUCUCGCCAUAGAGUUAUACACUGUUUUACUUGUUAGGAUGAGUCUGUCGGAAAUAUGCCAUGGGGACAAUAGUAAAUGUAUUAUUAUAUUUUCAUGCUCAUAAUUAAGUUUAUAUUUCUAUGCUAUAAUUGUAUUGGUUCUUGAAUAUGAUAUUUGAAGAAAACCCAAUUACAUGUAUCCAAACAUAAACACCAAUAUGAUCCCUAGUCACGACUUUAAAUUAUAACCUUACAUGUACACCUCUAUCAACUUUCAAAAAUACCUGAAGCUCUAGUCUAAGUAUUACUGCCUGAUACGUCUUCAACGUAUCUAUAAUUUAUGAAGUAUUCAUGCUGCUAUAUUAUCAUUCUUGGAUGUUUUAGAAUCAUUUUAUAACAACUUUAUAUUAUUUUUUAGGACUAAUCUAUUGACAUAGUGCCUAGUGCCAGUUGCUAUUUUUUGCUUGUUUUUUACAUCGCAGAAAAUCAAUAUCAAACGGAGUCCAAACGCAGCAAAACUUAUUGGAGAUUUUUUUGAACCAAAAGACAUCCAGUGAACCAAAGAAGUACCAAAGGGGUGCUCCGAGGGGGGCACAACCCACCUGGGCGCGCCUGGUUGUGCCCACCUCGGUGGCCUCCCGCACCGCCUCUUCGCCCUAUAAAUUAUAAAAUAUUCCAAAACCCCCGGGGAUAACCCUAGAUCAGAAGUUUCGCCGCCGCAAGCCUGUGUAGCCAUGAGAAACCAAUCUAGACCCGUUCCGGCGCUCCGCCGGAGGGAGAAAUCAUCACCAGCGGCCAUCUUCAUCAUCCCGGUGGCCACCAUGAUGUGGAGGGAGUAGUCCACCCUCGGGGCUGAGGGUUUGUACCAGUAGCUAUGUUUAAUCUCUCUCUCUCUCUCUCGCGUUCUUGAGAUGUCAUGAUCUUGAUGUAUCGUGGGCUUUGUUAAUAUAGUUGGAUCAUAUGGUGUUUCUCCCUCUCUAUGUUGUUGUGAUGAAUUGAGUUUUCCCUUUGAGAUUUUGUUUUAUCGGAUUGAAUACUUUUAUGAAUUUUGGAGCACUUGAUAUAUGUCUUGCAUAUGGAUAUCCGUGGUGACAAUGGGGUAUUAUAUUGAUUCACUUGAUAUAUGUUUUGGCCCUCAACUCGCGGAUUCCCGAGGUAACAUUGGGGUAAUAUAUGCGUACGGGUUGAUGCACGUUCUCGUCUUUUGUUUCUCCGGUAGAAAUCUUGGGGCACUCUUUGAGGUUCUUUGUGUUGGAUUGAGUAUUAUGAAUCUGAGUUUGCUUUGGUGUUAUUUUAGUACGAUCUCUUGAUAGAUCGAUCGGAAAGAAUAACUUGGUGUUAUUUUAGUAUGAUCUCUUGAUAGAUCGAUCGGAAAGAAUAGCUACAAACAAUUUCUUCUUAUGUUCUCCGCUAGAUAAGAACUUUAGAGUGAUUCUUCGUUGCACGUUGAGGGAUGGUUAUGUGAUCCAAUUAAAUUAGCAUUGUUGAGAGAUUGCACUAGAAAAAGUACGGACCCUAGGCCUCAUUUUCAAGCAUUGCAAUACCGUUUGUGCUCACUUUUGUUACUUGCUACCUUGCUGUUUUUAUUGUUCCUAUUACAAAAAUCAAUAUCUACUACCAUUACUACAUUUUUAUUACCAUCUCUUCGCCGAACUAGUGCACCUAUACAAAUUAUCAUUGUAUUUGGUGUGUUGGGGACACAAGAGACUUUUUAUUUGGUUGCAGGGUUGUUUGAGAGAGACCAUCUUCAUCCUACACCUCCCACAGAUUGAUAAACCUUAGGUCAUCCACUUGAGGGAAAAUUGCUAUUGUCCUACAAAACUCUGUGCUUGGAGGCCCAACACGUGUCUACAAGAAUAAAGUUGCGUAGUAUACAUCACUGCCCAUUUAGAGUUCUUGAGAAAAUUGAAGAAGUUUCUUACAACUGCUCGUGCCCGUCGAAUGGAAGCCACAUUGUACUUUCCAUGUCACCCAAUCUUCUAUAUCUAAAUAGCUAGCCCCCACUAACUAUUUCUCUCAACAUGCAAGCAUGCCACAUUAUCACACAACAUGCAUGGGAAAAGGCCCACCCCCACUACCAUAUGUCUUUUAACAUGCAAGCAUGCCACUUGAUCGUGAAAUAUGCAUGAAAAAAGACACAUCUCAACAUGCAAAUGGAGAUGAGAAUUUUAAUUCUAUUAUGCUAUUUAUACAUUUUACAUUUAUAUAGUAAUCAAACAUAAUAAAUUAUAUGUAUUUUUAGUUUUAGCCUUUUAUAUUAUUGCUUCAAAUAUUCAUGUUUCAUACAAUGAAUCACACUGAAAUGUGUUGCAUAAUAUUCCCGCAACAACAUGCGGGGUAUCAUCUAGUUGAAGAAGCAUUUAGCCCCCAAAGAAAUACCUACUACUCGACUACCUCUCAUCAACUAGGAUGGAUUAAUAUUGCUGGAUCCAGAGAAGCUCUUGGAACACACACUUAUACCUCGAUCUCAGGGGGAUAUUAACAUUCCAGUGGUUAUGUGGUUCAUCAAGUGGCUCAAUUUACCAGAGUCUGAAGCCACUUGGGAAUAUGCAACGUUCAUUGAGGAUAAGUCUAUUGUUCGGGGGGAGUUGUAAGGACAUGCAUAUCUAUUUUUGAAUAAAGCAACUCAUGCCACCGGGUUCAGCUAAGUUUGAAUCGUUUUCUUUUGGGGAGAAGCACUCUAGGCCAUACAUCUGCCAUCGAACAUGCUACCGUCUACCUACCGCUUCAUAGAGAAGGGAGAACGAGAAGAUGUUGAUCGGCCAUCGGACGGCUGAGGAUCCCGAGCGCGUCAUUGUUCCCUUUCCCGCAAAAAGGUCUACAAUGCUUAACUACCAAGCUACUUUUCUUUCGUUUCUUCCACUCAUUUGUAAGGCUACAAAGCUAGGAUUCUAGAACCUCCGAGCUCAUUCUCUUUGCUUUGGAGUAAACCCUAGACGCUAGUGUCCCUGGCAGGCCCAUAUGUGUAUACAAACUCGCUAAGAAUUCCUCGCAAUCGACCCCCAAAUUAGCUAUGUCCUAUGAGUUCAGUUCUUGUUUUCUGAAUCUAGUUCAUUAGACCACUUGGGUGUGAAAAAUACUAUCUAGAGAAAGAGUAGCUAGAGCAAGAGGGCUAGUUCUCCAACACUUAGAGAAAUGGCCUUGUAGUACAUCAGUAACGAGGGAGGGUCGAAACAAAAGAACAUCCCGACUUCCCGAGGGCCUUUUUUUAUAUAGUAGAGAUAUCCCGAGGGCCUUUGCAUAACGGGGGGGGGGGGUUAAUUUCCACUCCGCCGUCGGCCGUCACAUCACUAGUCCACUGAUGCCAACGACGUGGAUUGAUCACCCUACAUUAAUCAAGACCGAAUAAACUUCCCGUCUGCCCCCCUCAAUAUCCCUAGCCGAUUUACCGCCGUGCGCCGCCACCCUAGUUGUGGAGGUACGCCGGAGCUCUACCUUCUCCCUCCCCGGCAUUUUAGGAUAUAUGUGUUAGCUUUUCUUACCAAAAUUGGGAGCCUACUACAAUCUACGAGUCACCUCCAAUUCAAAUGCUAUAAAAACCCUUGCUUCAUCCCCUUUCUACCCUGCAGUAGUGUAGCUAGGAUUCCGAGUCAGGGUGGUCUAAGACAACAAUUUUCCCCCCAAAUGGUACAUGCCAAUAAAAUAGUGUAUAACUUGUCAAAAGCACAUACUGAUAAUAUCUUCAAAGCACAUUGAAAUUUAUGAUUAAAUCUUUCUUUUGAGGAGUUUACGAUUAGAUCUUAAUUAUGCAGAAAAGAAGCCAUUACAUCUUAUUGGUAGGAAUAAUAACAUCCUCUCAUGGCCAUCAAAGUCUCAAUUAUACCUUCUUCCUUCGAUUUGGAGAAAAGAUCAUGUUGAGCUUCAAAAGAGACACACUAUCUUUGGUCCUCUUCGUUUUGCAACAACUUUACAUUAAAAUCUUCAAUUUGCCAAUUCCUAAUCGGACGAACCCAUAGUAAUCGAUCAACACAACUACUCCCUCCAUUCCUAAAUAUAAGUAUUUUUAAAGAUUUCAACAAGUGACUACAUACAGAGCAAAGUGAAUGAAUCUAUGCUCUAAAAUAUGUCUACAUACAUCCAUAUGUUGUAGUCCAUUUGAAAUGUCUAAAAAGACUUAUAUUUAGGAACGGAGGAAGUACAAGUUUACAAACAUUAUAGAACAAUUAACUUAAGUUAACCUCUUUCCUCAUUUGGGAAGACUAUGUGGCUCCGAUUCCUCUGAAAACCAUCGGGAGCAGGACACCGCUACAGUCGUUUCUUGGCUUUUUUAGACAAUCUCAUGAAGCUUUUUUUUAAAAUCAUGAAGCUUUUAUUAGUUCAUCCUAAUAUUUAGCUACGCGUCCGCCGGUGGAUUUAUUGAAAACAUCCACCGCCUCCAACGCCGCUGGAUUGAGCCAUAAAUAGUCGCUGGAUCUUCACAAUGAGGUUUGUCGCGAAUUGCAACAAGGUAGAUGUUGCAGAGCUCGCACUGCAACAACUGCUUUGUUGCGAAACCACCGACUCAUCAUUUUUGCCCAAAAAUUGAUUUUAUCUUCACCUUUUUUGCAACAUAGAUGAUUUUGUGGGAGAACUUUUGCAACAGAGAUGGUGUUGUGGAAUUAUUAUUUUUGUCUUUCACCUUUUUUGCAACAACAAUGGUGUUGCAGAAUUAUUGUUUUUAUCUUUCACCUUUUUUGCAACAUAGAUGAUGUUGCGGGAGGACAUUUGCAACAUGAAGCAUGUUGCGGAAAAAUAAUUCACUGAAAAUGACGAUGUCAUCUGCGGUGUACAUUGAGGAAUUUCUGAAACAAAGGUGAUGUUGCGGGAGGAUUUUUGCAACAAGGCCCUUGUUGCGGAAAGUAUAAAAAAGCAUCUCCAAUGGAAACGACGAUGGAGGGUGAGAUGGGAGGCCAAAGCGGCACAGAUGGACCGAUGAUGGCCGGAGUGGAGCUCGUGCUUGCGCGCUCGAGCGGCGGCCAUGGCUGCGGGCUAGGGAGCGCUAGGAGAGAAGAAAGGACAACCAGCGGCAUCCUCCAACGAUCACCGGCGGCGGCCUUGCGGUGGCGGUCCUGGAGCAUGGCUGCAGGCGAGAGGGUGAGCAACAUUGAGAGAGGAAGGGGAAAAUAACAAAUGGAUAAGAAGCAUGAAGAGUGGAUAAGGAUAAGGACACGUGGUAAAUGUACGAGAUGCGGACGCGGUGCCUAUAAUCCACCGGUUGAUGGGAAACUUUUCCCAAUAUUUAGAGGGAUGAAAGGGAGAUCAUCGAGCUGGCCUAACCCAGGAGCAAGGACUAGUUAAAGUGAGCCAUGAGGCCGACCUGGGCUAUGGGCUUGGCCGCUUGUGUUAGUUGGGAUGCUGUUUUUUUUCUUGAAGAAAAUGGUACUUAGGGGUGAAGUAUAUGGGCUUUCGGCUGCAAAAUUCCAGGGUGGACUUCACUGUUCUGACCCCUCAGAAAAAGAAAAACCCUGGCCACCCUCUGGUAGUGCUGCCUGCCCUGAUCGUCCGCCGCCCGUCCCUGUCCUCAAAACCCUAGCUCGCCCUAAACCGUGGCACCCACCACCGCCCCUCAUCCUGCGCCGGCGUUCGUCUUCCGAAGCGCAGGAGGGCCUUUGAUCGAUCUAGGUCAGACCUCACCGACCGGCACGCUGUGCUCACAACUCACAUACCCUAUGUCAGACCCAGGUGGUCUGAAGAACACGAUUCAGCGAAGAGAAUACCGAACUAGUCUGAUUUAGCCAAUUUCAGAGGAAAGAUUAAGCGAGUCUAGCUCAUUACAGAGGUUCUAGCUGGCCAGGAACACUGGCGGCGGCAAGGGGGAAACCCUAACAAUAUCAAGAUACCAACUCCCGAUCCUGGCUCCUGGCUUUAUAGCCUUACAAAGUGGAGUAAAAAUGAAGAGAAAAGCAUAAAGAAAGAGGGAGUGGCUGUGGUCUUUACCGGAAAGUGAACAGCGACAGCCAGGGCAAUCACCACCACACGGUGAAGAUCGGACGCUCGUCGGGUCAUCAUAACUGGCGAAGCGGUACGACGACGCCUUGGCCGUGCGAUCGAUGAUGGGUGGCUCCUGACGUUUCCCGCCUGUUAGAAUGGGUUUCAAAUGACUGAAUCCAGGUUCCAGUGUUCUGAACUGCAGAUAGAGUAACUUGGGUCCUGACAACUCCCCCUGUUCUAGAUCAGACCUGUCCUCAGGGCUGGAAAUUGGGAAACACUUUUUGUAUGAAUGUGGCGUCCUCCCAAGUGGCUCAUCCAGAGGUAGAUUACUCCAUUUGAUGAGCCAUCGAACAACCGGAAUGCUGAUGUUGCCCUAUACACGCGGUACUAGCUUUCUUUCCAGCAAUUGUUCUGGUUCCAGUAAGAUUGUUCCAUCCGGAUUGACCAAGGGAAGCUUGGGGUUUGGAAUUGCCAUGGGGCCAAUAUGCUUCUUGAGCUGGCUCACAUGAAAAGUAUCAUGUAGCUUGCAAUCAUCAGGGAGGAGGAGCUUGUAAGCGGCAACACCAACUUUCUGAAUAACUCUGAAUGGGCCAUAAAAUUUGGAGUGCAGCUUGAGACAUUUGUGGAUGCUGAGAGUGGUAUGCCUGUAAGGUUGCAGUUUUAGGUAGACCAUGUCACCAACUUCCAAGGUUCUCUUAGAUCUCUUCUUGUCAGCAUAAUGUUUCAUUCUGGUUUGAGCUCUCAGGAGGUUUUCUUUAAUAUGUGCUGCGGUUUGUUCAGCAGUGAGCACCUCAGGGAAAUGUUCCAUUUCAUACAUAGGGUAAAGAGCAGCUUCAGCUAACAUACGGGGAGGUCUGCCAUACAAAGCCUGGAAGGGAGUGAUCUGGAGAGCUGUGUGGUAGCUAGUGUUGUACCAUCACUCAGCUAAGGACAACUAGUUGAGCCACUUUUGUGGUUGGAUGAAAGCCAUGCAUCUCAGAUAAUUUUCCAGACAUUGAUUAACUCUUUCUGUCUGGUCAUCUGACUGGGGGUGAUAAGAAGUGCUCAUGUGUAACUUGAUGCCCAACUUCUUAAACAAGUCCUGCCAGAGCUUGCUAGUGAAGAUUUUGUCUCUGUCUAUAACAAUCACAUCUGGUAGUCCAUGGAGUUUGAAAAUGUUAUUAGUGAAAGCCUUGGCUACAGUAUUAGCUGUAAUGGGGUGCUUCAUGGGGAUAAAGUGGCUGUAUUUAGUGAACCUGUCCACCACAACCAGGAUCAUGUUCUUGUUGUGAGAAGUAGGAAGACCCUCCACAAAAUCCAUGCUUAUGUGGCACCAAGCAAAGUCUGGGACUGGUAGAGGUUGGAGCAGCCCAGGGUACUUGCAGCGUUCAGCUUUGUUGAUUUGGCAGGUAGGGCAUUGUUUAAUAUAAUCAACAAUAAAUUGCUUCAUGCCAGGCCAAUGGAACAGGAGCUUAACUCUUUGGUAUGUAGCACUAUGUCCAGAAUGGCCACCUAGUUCAGAGCUAUGUAAAGCAGCUAGUAGUUUGGUUUUGAUGGUGUUAUCAGCUCCUAUGACUAUUCUGUUUUUGUAUCUAAGCAAACCUUGUUGCACAGUGUAUUGGUCACAGAAUUAGGAUUUACAGUCAACUGAGCUAACAAAUCCUUGCAUCUCUGAUCAUUUUUGUAGCUGUCAAUUACUUCAGUUACCCAAGCAGGUUUGACAGUAGAAGCUAUGGGAGCAUGUAUUUUGUGGUGUACCCUGGAAAGGGCAUCAACCACUUUGUUUUUCUUCCCUUGUUUGUAUUCCACAGUGUAGUUAUAACCAAGGAGUUUGACCAGAAGCUUGUGCUGAAUUCCCUUAGUGAGUUUUUGUUCUUGUAUAUAUUUCAGACUCUGCUGGUUAGUUCUGAUGAUGAGUGAAGAUGCAGCAAAAUAAUGUUUCCAAUGCUUGAGAGCUUCAAUGAUUGCUAGUGCUUCUUUGUCAUAAGUGGAAUAAGCAGCUGCUCUAGGGCCAAUUGCUUUACUGAAAAGCGAAAUAGGUCUCCCUUCUUGCAUUAGAACUGCACCCAACCCAUAGGCACAAGCAUCUGUUUCCAAGAUGAAAGGCUUGGAGAAGUCUGGUAGGGCCAAUACUGGGGCUUGUGUCAUUUUGUUCUUCAGGGUAUUGAAAGACUGAACUUGCUCUUGCCCCCAGGUGAAGAUGUCCUUCUUCAGAGAGUUAUACAGUGGCCUACAAAUGAGCCCAUAAUUUUCCAUAGAUCUUCUAUAGUAACCAGUCAACCCUAAAAAGCUCCAUAGCUGUGCGACAUUUUCAGGUUCUGGCCAUUCACUACAAAAAAAGACACAUCCGUGACAUUUUGGGCCGAACAAAAUUUUUUCUGUCAUACAUAUGCCACUUCUAUGACGAUAAUUGUGACAAAACCCGGUAUCAUCAUAGAUGUGGUGGGCUCCUACUUCUAUGACAAAAAAUCAUGACAUAAAAUGGGAUUUUUGUCUUGGGCGGACCAGAGACGCAGCUGCAUGACAUUCUUUGGGCCGUCCAUGACGGAAAAAACCAUGGUAGAAGCGAGGGGGAGGGAAAUUUUGGGGAGUUCCCGGUUACGGUGGGAGGUCGGGGGCCGAGCGAUGCGCGUUUCUCUCGUACACGUAUGCAUGUGUGUGCGAGGCGUUGGCUCUAACUGAACCCGAGCGAGCCGUUGGGCUCUAAUUGAACCCGAGCGAUCGCACUGCAGGCUACGCAUUACUGAACCCGAGCGAUCGAUCGAUGGAUGUUAACUGAACCCGAUCAAGCGAUUCCUUCGCUACUGCUGCUAACUGAAGCCGAUCGAUGUUGCCUCUGGGAUGAACAAUGAGCGGUGGCGUUGCCUCUGGAUGAACAGGACCCCGUGGUGUGGUGGAGGGCUGGAUGAACAGUAGACGGUGGAGGGGUGCCCGUGGAGGGGUGGUUGAACAUGACCCCGUGGUGUGGAGGGCUGGAUGAACAGUAGACGGUGGAGGGGUGGUUGAACAGUAGCCGGUGGAGUAGCGCACGGUGGAGGCUAGAUGAACAGGAGCCCAUGGAGGCUGGACGAGGUCGACGGUAGCCCGUGGAGGCUGGAGGAGGUCGACAGUGGAGAUGAACAGUAUCCCACGGAGUCCCGUUUUACGGUACGCCACACCCCUCCCGAUGAACAGGACCCCCGUUUCGACCGUAGGAUGUCCGUUUCGUCCGUUUUGCGGUACGACACACCCCUCCCGAUCAACAGGACCCCUGUUUCGACCGUAGGAGGUCCGUUUCGUCCGUUUUGCGGUACGCCACACCCCUCCCGAUCAACAGGACCCCCGUUUCGACCGUAGGAGGUCUGUUUCCUCCUUUUUGCGAUACGCCAGACCCCUCCCGAUCAACAGGACCCCGUUCAGGCCUCGUUUCCAUCGCCUAUUCCGUCCAAGCCCUCCCGAUGAACACGACCACGCAUUCCGUUCCGACCUAGCCGGUUGGCUCCCACGCGUUCCGUUGCCUCCCGAUGAACAUGACGCAUUCCGUUGCCUCCCCAUGAACACGACGCAUUCCGUUGCCUCCCCAUGAACACGACAACGACGCUGUUUCUCCGUUCCGACCCAGCCAUGUACACGAGCCCUGGCCGUACGUAUGCGCGAGUAGGUGUUCGAGAGCCUGCCCGUAUGUACAUACGUGGCCGUAUUUUCUUUCUUGCACCCUGGCCGCUGUACAUACGUGUACAUGCUACGUGCGCGCCUCUAAUACGACACGUGCGCGCCUCUACUACGACACGUGCACACCUCUACAUCGACCAGUAUAUAUGUACGUACACGUUCGUGACCAGAAUGACAACGCUACGUAUGCUUCAACCAGGUGGGUCUCGACUGUCAGGCACUUCCUUACGUACGAAGAUGUAGUUGGUGGGUCUCAGCAGUCAGGGGGCGAAUCGUUUUGUUUUUUUGCCCGGACGCACUUCCUUGCAUGCGAAGGUGCAGCUGGUGGGUCCCAGCAGUCAGGGGGAAAUGUUUUUUUCGUGAAAUAUGGUGGCCCGUCCGGUGGGUCCCUGCAAUAAUUAUUUUGCAUGUAAUAAGGGGGCACUUCCUUGCUGCGGCCAUGGACCCAGCUGUCAGCCUCUCCAUGUACAUUCCACGUCCGAUGGAAGCCGUUCCUUGACCACGUUGACCACGCCGUGCCGAGAGCACCAGGGUGGUGGACGACGGCAAGGCCUAGGAAGGGGACGAUGCGGAGCCGGGGAAGACGCGGCAGUGGAUGCCCACGCAUAGAGGAGUACGAGGGUUCACUGGUUUGCUGUGGUGUGAGGCUACCGUCACCGCAGAAUAACAUGGGGUGUGGGUGAGUAGAGGGAUGGUCUGGCCAGCGGUGGGAGUAGUAGGGGGCGGUGAGGCCUCCGCCGCAUCGCAUACGGCCACGGGAGGCAGGAGCACGAGGCACGACCGGCGCUGGUUUGGGCGGCUGGAGCAAGAAGACCAGAGGUUGAAGAAGCACUACGGCCGUUGGAUGGACAUCGUACGGUCACUGGAGCUAGAAUCGUGCAUAUAUUGACUAACUUGACAAAGCCCUCCGUCCCCGUCAACUUAGUAGGCCCACAAGUCAGCCUGCCACUAUACUGGGUCCCAGCUAAUAGGGGGAGUAUUCAUUUUUUUGUGCGUAAUAAGGAGGCACUUCCUUGCGUGUGAAGAUAUAGCUGGUGGGCCCGAGCUGUCAGCGGCGAUAAUGUUUUUUUUCACGAAAUACAGAGGCCCUUUCGAUGGGUCCCUGAUGUCAGGUGGAGGAAUCAUUAUUUUGCGCGUAAUAAGGAGGCAUUUCCUUGUGUGCGGCCAUGGACCCAGCUGUCGGCCUCUCCACGUACAGUCCACUUCAGAUGCAUGUCAGUCGUUGACCACGUUGACCAGGCCGCGCCGAGAGCACCAGGGCGGUGGACGACGGCGCGGCCUAGGAAGGGAACGACACGGAGGCAGGGAAGACUCGGCAGUUGUUUCCCACGCGGAGGGGAGUACGACUGUACGAGGGUUUACUGGUUCAUCUGCCGUCGCCGGAGAAUAACAACAGGUGUGGGUGAGUAGAGGGAUGGCUAGGCCAGCGAUGGGAGUACCGUGGGGUGGUGAGGCCUGCGCGGCAGCACAGCCGGCCACGGGGAGGAGGGAGUAGACAGUCCUCCCACCGGCGCUUGUUUGAGCGGCUGGAGCAGGAAGAGCAGAGAUUGAAGAAGCACAACGGCCAUUCGAUGGACAUCCAACAGUCAUUGCUUGUGCGUCAACCUUUUUUUAGGAAAGCCUCAAAUCUGUGCAAAACAACAUACAAUCCAUUUGCUAAUUCUUAAGGUUUUUUUGGAGCCCAUAUUCCUUUUGUUAGCAUUACAGCCCAUAUUGUGGCCACGGUUAAAAAAUUAUAGGAAAUUUGCAUAUUUCGGUGCGGUCCGAACUGUUUUUAAUCCUGAAAUUUCGAAUCGCAUUCAAACUGAUUAUAAAAAUAAAUGUAUAUCAAUAUAAAAUCCAACAAAUUCUCCACGCAUAAAAAUUAAUGUAAUUUAAAAUCUCGAAAUGAAAAAAAAAGAUAUUUGAAACUAAUUGCCGGUUUGAUGUGUUUUAAAAAUGUACAACCAUUUCUCAUUACUGAUGGGCCAUUUUCUCGGCCAGCUGAAUGAAAUCUCUCCUUGUCUUGAAAGAUUUGUAGCCCAACAGGCCUAACAAAGCGACUUACUUGGCAAAUCACAAAAAAACUAGGCUGUGGCCGUGGACUCAGCUGUCAGUCCAUUUGUUUUUUAGUCCAUUUGGUGGGCUGGGUGAAACAAUGAUGUAGCAUCUAUGCAGCCUGUUUAAAUCCAAUUUGCAUUUUUCUCGAAAUCCGCGGACUUGCUGGGCUGGGUGAAAAUAUCAUGUCAGUAAAAUCUUUGCAAGCUUAUGUACGCAAUCACUAGGAGUUAACUUGCCAAGUUAUAUAUAAACAAUUAUUAUUAUUAUUUUGUAAGAACUUUCAACUUACGAAAUAAAAUAUCAUUUUAAUUUGAUGAGUUAAUAGUACAUGAGGUAUUAUUAUUUUUUAGGCUAGACGUGGGACAAUUGAGUUGGUUCUAGGGGAAAGUACUAGGAGAAAACUCAGUUUACAUCGAAAAAGAAAGUGGGAGAAAAUUCAGAGACCUGAUGGGUCCACCUGAGGAGGGGAAUAUGUUGGGAGGAAGGAUAUUCAAAGCACGGCAGUCGAGUGAACUAGUUGUUUUUUACGGACAAGUGAACUAGUUUAGAUACAUAAGCAAAUAGCCACUAAAAAAGAAAUCAGGUUAAUGGGUUCUUAAAAGAAAUAUUUCGGACAAAACAGAUAAUUACGACACAUAGGCUAAUGCAUGAAACACUCAGAUGAUAAAGGUUCUUAUAAACAGAUAAAGUACAACAUCUAGACCUUCCUGGCACGCUUGAUCAUGACGCUGCGGUUGUCCGUGUACUCGUCGGUUAUGGAAAGCAGACACGCCCUCAUGUCCAAGAUCUGCCUCUACAUGUCGUAGCAUGCGUAUGCGUCCUUAGCCGUGUAGGUUAUGUAGGCUAGAUUCAGAGGUACGUCCCACGUGUUUAGGUCGUCUUCUUUCAUGUUGGCGUAUCAGGGGUCGAUGAUGGUCUCACCGAGGUCAACCACAGAGUCCUUCUCCUGCCCGUUGCUGAUGAUCUUGUAUUGCUUCUGGAUGUCGACAAGCUUGUUGCACCAGAUGGCCGAAUCGUCGCGUUCUUCCUUCUCUCCACCGUAGCGAAGGUGCAGUCGGCGCUGCCAUUGAAACGGGCGAAUGCUCCAGAACCUGGUGCAGCCAUAGGACUGAGGCGAGGCAGAGCUUCACCGAGUCCGUAUCGUUGGUGUACAUCACAUUCAACUUGGUGCAGCCAUAGGACUGAAUGGAGAACUCAAAGGGGAACUCCUUGCUGAAGUCCAUAUCCAGCAGGCUCACCCCUCGGAUCGCCAUUGGAGUCUCUUCGAGUGAACGAGUGUGUAGGCGGCGGCGGCAGUUCGUUUUUUAGCUCUUGGGGAACUGAAUUCAACAGUAAGCUGAGUGUGUACAUGCGACAACAGUUACUACCCCUCCCUCGUCCGCUGCAUGCCCGGCAGAAGAUGCACCCUCGGCCACACGUCGGUUCACGAGCAGGUCUGUAUUGGUACUGUAAUAACAGGAGUUUGUGGUCACUUUACUUAAAUUUAAUUAGCUUUAAUAGAAAUUUGUACUUAAAAGAAGCAAUGCAUUCGCUCGUUCUAUCAGUGCCACAGGAUCAACAUGCACAACAAUUAGAAUUAUUAUUCUCAGGACGCACACGAUCAACACAUUUGUCGCACUUUCACAAAGAUAAUACUACCAAGUUUGAACUGUUUGUUAUGGUUGUUGUCCUCUGCAUCAUCAUGCCAUGUUUCCUAGCUUGCAAGAUUCAGAACCAACAAAUAAGAUCCAAAUAAUAAGUACAACAAAGAUGCCUACACAUCUCAUUGAUUCCCAGCUUGCAAGAUUCAAAACCAACAAAUAAGAUCCAAAUAAUAAGUACAACAAAGAUGCCUACACAUCUCACUGAUUCCCAGCUUGCAAGAUUCAGAACCAACCCAUUAGAGCCUUUUGAUAAAGUGAAUAUCGGGAUUAAAUCCAUCCUGGCUAGCCAUGUCAUACAAUCCAAGAACUUGGCGAAUGCUCUUGACUGUCACAACAUCUGUAGUUGAGUAUUCCUGUUUGCACAACAUGUUUGCACAUCACAAACAAGGAGACAGGAGAGCAUGAUUUCGCUUUAAUAGCGGCCUCCUUGAACUCAACCUCCAGCUCUACUUGGAUGAGGUAUGCCUGGAGUUCCAUGAUUCAAUUCAUGCACCUUUUUUUGCAGUUCACCUGAAAUGAAGCAAAGAUUGCAUCAUUCAGCUAGCAAGAAGUACUUGCUCUUGUGAGCUGGCAGGUUCUUCUUUAGUAGUUGCACUAAAAUUGAGGAACAUUAAGGUUGGCUGUCCGGCUCAUGUAAGGUGAAACUAUAAUUUUCUUAUCCUUUUGUGCAGUUCCACUAAAAUAAAGUGCCAUUAUGGUGACAGUGACGGCUCCAUCUUGCAAAGGCUAAUAAAAUGUUGCACGAGAUUACCAGCAGAACUUGAUGGAUAUUUUGGAAACUCCAAUCACCAUUUUGUGCAGUUCCACCAAAAUUGAGAGAUGUUGCCCACGUGACAUUUUAGUUGAACUGCACAAGACACUCAUCCCAAAAAAAGUGUUUUGUGCAGUUCACCAAAAGGUCACAAUAGCAACAAGGUGAAAUGGAUAUCCCUAUCUGCACAAAAAGAUAGAAAGUAAAUAGUUGCUGGUCAAUAAGAAUAUAUGAAAUAUAUACAAAAUGGAAAGAAGCAUCUUAAUUAUGUUCAUGGAAAUCACGCAAGGAUAGUAGAAAUUUUAAAACGUCAGCAAUGCUUCAUGUUACCAGAAGCAUUACGAUCAACAAUGAGAUUCCUCAAAUAUGGGAUUACUUUAAUGGUGGCAUUGCUUGUUUACCAGACACAGUAAAUCAACAGCAGCUAAAGAGUUGGUUUAAGGGCAUGGGACCGUGGGGACACCAGGACACUCAGCAGCGUAAAGGAGCAACUUACUUAUCAUACUGGGGAAAACAGCAGGAGUGCCAUUGUACUAUGUGAGGGCAGCAAAUCUAAUCUUGGAGACCUUUUACUAUGUGAGGGCAGCAAAUCUAAUCCUGGAGACCUUUUACUAUGUGACGGCAGAAAAUCUAAUCCUGGAGACCUUUUACUAUGUGAGGGCAGCAAAUAUAAUCCUAAGACCUUUUACUAUAUGAGGGCAGCAAAUCUAAUCCUGGAGACCUUUACUAUGUGAUGGCAGCAAAUCUAAUCCUGGACAUACUCUAUUGACUUGUCCACCAGCCGCCACUUUCUAUCCUUUUUUCAACCAAUAAUAGAUCUGUUCCUUAUCCAGUUUGUACCGCGUUUUCCCAUUAUUUCCCCUUUCAACCAAGAGACCGGUUGGGUAUCCGGUCUCUACUACUUUCACCAUAUUAUUUCCUCUUUGAAUCAAGUCCUAGAUUCAUGCUACAACUUCCCCCCUUUCUUCGUUGUUUGAACAAAGCCCUAGAUUUGAAUGCAUGAAGUAGUUGUACCUCUAAUAGUACUAAAAAUUUAGGUGGCUUUGGAAGAGCUGAUGGGAGUAGAAAAAGAUGCACAUGCAGACACGUGGGGAGCUGAGACAGUAGAGCAAGGCCUCUUUCGAAGAACUUAUAACUGAGGGUCGCCGGGAUGUCGGCGGCGGCAGGUCGGAUCUGUGGACAAUACGACAGGGAGGAAGAAGGGUCGGAGGACCUCCCGAGCCGGCCAUGUGUCGGAGAGAACGGCACGGGCAGAGGAUCGGGCCCCUCCGGCAGCUGUGGGUUUCCUCCCUCGGCGGCGAUGACCGCGUGAAUGAUGCACCUUUUAGUCCUCUACACACACCGGCCAAAGGGAUCCGGCCGGAUCUGUGACCAGCGGUGAGAAGAGAGAAAAUGUCGCUACCGCUGUCUUGUUUAUAUCUGGAGAGGAUGAGAGAAUGAAGAGAGCAACCCUAGUAAAGCAAGCGCUUAGGCCCCUGCGUCCAUAUAUAGUGGAGUGAUUAUCUUUUUUCUCUCCACAACAAGCGUUUCAAUUAGUGUACGUGGCAUUAAAGAAAAGAAACUCUCUAUUUAAGGUGACUACAGUAGGACUCCUACUUACUACUAGUAGUACUACAGUAUUGUUCACUUGUGCCCCCCGCCCCUCCAUUCAUUGAACAACCCCACGGGUGAACAAACAUACAGUAAGUACUGUAUUUAUAUAGAACGAACAAGCUCGAACUAUUUUCGCGUAGUUAAAAGUUGAGGGCAGGGCUUUUCCCGGGCAGUACGUGUGACAGUUUUCGGGUAGGGCUAGAAGACUAUUUUAAUUUUUUUUAAAACUUCGAGACGGCCACAUAGCAUGGAGCCAACCCCAACGAUUUUAAGCUUACAGGCACGGUACAUGCUAUCCUAGACUAGUAUACACAUGAAACUGCCACACGAGCGUCCGGGCUGCGCUUGGCUCUUCGCCUCUUCGUGAAGUCGAACAAUGAUGGAAUACUACUGCACUGGAGGAGUACUACAGUACGCUUCUGGCCAUCUGACACCGAUUGAACUGCUUCAUGUCCACCGCGUGCGGGAGUGAGAGCGUGUAGCGAAAGCUUCUCCUAGUCUUGCCAGCCACCGCGCUCAUGGGCGAGGGAGGGACGCUCCUGCCUUUGCGUGUAUGACAGGUGGGCCCUACAGGUGUGUGGCCAACCUGUCAUACAGCCGAAGGCAGGUGCAGUUAAGUCCGCGAGGGAGAGGAUAAUCAAAAUUCUCGUUGAUGUACGAGUUGACGCGACACAUCAAAGCACUGCACUCGAUAUAUUUCAAUAAUUUCCGUGUGUGACUCCCAGAUGCAGAGGCCGGGGGUCAUCAUCCUCCUUUUCGAGAAAAAAACAGAUGAGUGUGUGAGAGGAUGAGUGCGUGCGUGCACCUCUUCUCUUCCUGUAUAACGUACUCCCUCCGUUUCUUUUUACUCCGCGUAUAAGAUUUGGUCAAUUUUCAGAGUACACGUUUUUGUGGGUGGCACGAUGGUGCGUGCGAGAAGUCCCAAGAGAUAGGUUUAAUGCAUUAAUUGCAAUGCAUGCAUGCAUAAAGUACAUGCGUUGGUCAAUUUUCUCUUAAUACUUGCAUGCAAUGAUUUAAUGCACCUUGAAUCUGAACAUGUGUUGGGGACAACCAAAUUGAGCCUUAUAACAUGGAAAAACUAAAAUUUUGAGAUAAGCCCUAUAAAACCGGAAAGGAGGGAGUAGAAAAAGAAGUACUCCAUCCGGGAAUAAUGCCGCACUUCGAAACUAGAACCGUCAAUAAAUUUUGAGCUUGCGUCUCGUCACAUUCCAAAUUACUCCACGCUAUAUUGAAUUGCAAACAUGUUCACACCGAUCACAGCCUAAACGGUUUCCCACUUAGGAGUGUAUUAGUACUCGGUUAUAAAUACUAGUAUGCCAAGAUGACUGCACAUUCCUCCUCAACUCCUCAUCCAUAAAAACAAACAAGUCAUUCAUCAUCCUUCCCUUGCGUCUGCCAUGGCCAGCAUGAGUUCUGGGUCGAGAGAUUGCCACCAGGGAGAGGCGAGCAUGGAAGCGGAAGCAUGAGAGAUGUCCCGCCUCGCUGCGAGAGCAGCAGACAUGUCCCGUCGUGCGGAAGUAGUAGCACAGAGGUCCGCCACGCCGCUGAAGCAGCACGGAGGUCCCGUCGCGCCGUUGAUGCAGCAGACUAGUCCGGCCGCACCAUGGAAGCAGCAGAGAUGUCCCGUCGCGCCACGAAUGCAGCAGAGAUGUCCCGCCGCGCCACGGCAGCCUGGGAAAAUUUCUCGCGGGCAGGCGACGACUGUUACAGGCGCAUGCAUGCGAUCGUCCAUAGCCAGAUGGAUCAGAUCUCCGGCUCGGCGAGGUUGUAGGACGACAUGACAACCUCGUUUGAACAGGCUACCGGCAUCAUCCCAACUAAGGGAGGGCAAUGAGAGGCUCCGGCCCGAGCGCGGCCUGCUGAGGGAGAAGAUCGUCUGAAGUGCAGACUUGCAGGAGGAGACCAGUGCCUUGUUGAAGAGACUUGCAGGAGGAGACCAGGAAUCCAUGGAUGUUCUCAAGCAGCAUCUUGAGGACACGAAAGAGCUCAUCGCCGCUCACCGCGGAGACUAGUUUCCUGGUUUCUUUUGAUGUAAUAAUCGGUUUAGGAUGUGGAUUGUGUCGUCGGUUAUGAAAUGUUGGGUUCUAGCGCAGAUGUUUGGCCUUUGUUGGCCUCUUGGGAUGUUGUGAUUUCAAUCUGGUAGCUUUUAGUCCUUCGUGUUAGGCUGCAGUUGUGCUGAACUUCUUGUGAAUUGUGGUGGUUUUCAGUAAUGAAAAUCGAAAGGGGCAAGCCCUUCUUUGAUCAAUUUUUUUAAUCGUCCUUAUAUAUUCAUCAGUCUUGAUAUAAGUCGCAGUAGAUGCUAUAUAGGUUCGUCGGAUCUUACAUCAAGAUCCGUGCUUUUAGAUUUUCUUUUUUCUCUCUUAAAUCUCAGUCAAGUGAGACAUAGCCACGCCAUUAAACAGAGGCUCGGGCGCCAUUAAUGGAGACCUUGGUGGAGAGGUGGACGGCAGAUGGAGGUCAAAGGGCUCUCCUCCCGGUAAGCACGUGCAAGGGUCUGAUCGCACGCCUCUCGUACUCAAAUAGCUACCCUGCACGGCGCCUCCUAGCUAAUAAAAAAUGGGUCGCUUGGCGGCACGCAAAUGGUACUAGUAAGUAGAACGCCCAUGGUUUCAAUAAUACUUGUGUUUCCGAUUGUAACGUGAUAGCACUUGUGCCAAAAUGACUUUGUUGAUUGUUAAUGUGUGCGCCUUCGCAAAUCGGACUACAAAUUUACCACAGCAUGUUGGUGCCAUGUCAUGGCACCAAGCCAAGUUUCAUUAUUUUCAUGCAUGUUUUGGAUUUACAGGAAUUAAAAAACUAAGUUUCUCAAUGUUUCCAACCCAGCCACGACGCAAUUUCAUUCCCAUUUCUUGCAUGGAACCUAGAAAUUUACCCGAGGACACACAUGUGAUUUUUCAACCAACUUAGGUGCACUGGAACAUGUGAUUGUAUUCCAAAUUUGAAUUAUGCACACAAAGGUGACACGUUCCCUCCCAGAACCACGAGCCUUCUUGAGAGAAGCUCCGAUUUGCAAGAAGCUUAUACCAAAAUUUGUUCCUAUUCUGCCAAUUUUUUUACCACGACAUGGUACUACCAUGACAUGACAUCAUGUCAAGUUUCAUGAUUUUAAAACCAAGUUUCUCAAUGUUCUCGACCGAGCCACGAUGCCCAGAUGUUUGAAUUUUAUUCUCAUUUUUUGCAUGGGACCUACUCCCUCCUUCCAUCUAUAUAGGGCCUAAUGUGUUUUUCAAGACAGCCUUUGACUAUUGACAAGAUUAAUAGCACAUGAGAUGUAUACUAUGAAAAUUAUAUUAUUGGAAGCUCCUUUAACAUACAAAAUUGAAGGUAUGCUUUGUGUAAGUUGCAUGCCAUAUAUUAUUGCUCUAACUUUGGUCAAAGUUAGCCUCGAAAAACGCAUUAGGACCUACAUAGAUGGAAGGAGGGAGUAGAAAUUCACCCGAGGACACAAAUGUGAUUUUUCAACCAACUUUGGUGCACGGGAGCAUGUGCUUGUAGUUCAAAUUUGAAUUAUGCACAUUAAAUAACCAAAAACUCAAUUAAUGUGUAAAUAAGGCCAAACGAAGCCGGAAUAAUUCCAAAAUUUAAUAGGGCACUCAUGUAGUUCUAUGCUGCCUUUGUAAAUAAGCUCAAGGGGGACAAUGUAUAUCGUUUCACACUCAAAGGUGGCACGUUCCCUCUCAAAACCACGAGCCUUCUUGAGAGAAGCUUCGGUUUGCAAAAGCUUAUACCAAAAUCUGUUCCUAUUCGGCCAAUUUUUUUACCACAACAUGGUAGUACCAUGACAUGACAUCCAUGCCAAGUUUCAUGAUUUUCAGACGUGUUUUGGAUUUACAAGAAUUUUAAAACCAAGUUUCUCAAUGUUCUCGGCCAAGCCACGAUGCCCAAAUGUUUUAAUUUUAUUCUCAUUUCUUGCAUGGGACCUAGAAAUUCACCCAAGGACACAAAUGUGAUUUUUCAACCAACUUUGGUGCACGAGAGCAUGUGCUUGUAGUUCAAAUUUGACUUAUGCACAUUAAAUGACCAGAAACUCAAUUAAUGUAUAAAAAACGACAAACGAACCCGGAAUAAUUCCAAAAUUUAACGUGUCACUAAUGUAGUUCUAUGUUGCCUUUGUUAAGAAACUCAAGGGGGGGGGCAGCGUAUAUCAUUUCACACUCAAAGGUGGCACGUUCCCUCUUAGAACCACGAGCUUCCAAAUCGGCCCAAUUUUUUACCACAACAUGUUAGUGCCAUGACAUGACACCAUGCCAAGUUUCAUGAUUUCUAGGCGAGUUUGAUUUACAUGAAUUUAAAAUCAAAGUUUCUCGAUGUUCUCGGCCGAGUCAUGACGCCCAGAUGUUUGAAUUUCAUUCUCAUUUCUUCCAUGGGACCUAGAAAUUCAACCAGGGACACACAUGUGAUUUUUCAACCCACUUUGGUGCACCGGAGCAUGUGCAUGCAAUUCAUAUUUAGAUUAUGCACAUUAAAAGUCCAGAAACUCAAUUAAUGUAUAAAAAAGGCCAAAUGAACCCAAAAUAAUUCCAAAAUUUAACAGGGCACUCAUAUAGUUCUAUGUUGCCUCUGUAAAUAAAAUCAGGGGGGAGGCAGCGUAUAUCGUUUCGCACACAAAGGUGUCACAUUCCCUCUCGGAACCACGAGGCUUGUUGAGAGAAUCUCCGGUUUUGCAAGAGGCUUAUACCAAAACUUGUCCCAAUUCAGCCAAAAUUAUAUGUAUGAAAACAGGGUUUAGAUUAUCCCAAACAUCUCGUUACCUAGACCAAUAAUGUACUAUGAUUUGAAUUUAACAUAAAAUGGAUACAAAUAUUUGAAUUGGAGAGCGUAUGGUACAUGUAGUUCAUAGUGAAAUAUGAUUACUGCUAUAUGUAUGUUUUUUGUUAUCAAGAUAAUAUUUAAAUUAUUGUAUAACUUGACAACAAUCGUAUUCAAGUAAGGAAAAUUGAUUCAAAUUUAGUCCAUAUGGUAGACGACAAUAUAUAUGUUCACAUGGUGGAGUAAAAUGUUCAUAUAUGAUGGAAGAUCAAAAUGUACGACUACAUCAAUUAUAAACCGCAAGGUCACCUAAUGAUAUAUUCGAAUUCAACAUAACAUGGAUUCAAAAAUUGAAAUUCGAGAUCAUGGCAUCUGUAAUCAUAUAAAAAGGAACAUUACUCUUUCUUUGGUGGGAAUUGAUUUGUUUUUUGUUGUUGUUGAGGGAAGUGCGAAUCGAUUUGGUACUGUGCAGGGUAAUCUUGUUCUCCCGAUUUUUUUUACAUUUUUCUUGUAGUUUUUUCAAUGGCAUCUAUAGCAAUAUAGUAAAAGGGGACAUGACUCUCUUGUGUCUUGUAUGAAUUGUUUUUUUACACGUUAAGUUUGUUCUGCCGAACAAGGAAUCCGCACCUUGUUAUCCCGAAAUUUUCAAGCUCGAGUAUCUUUUGUCUCAUCUGCUUUGAAACUCCCGCUUCUUCAACCCGCGCCACGCCUUGUUACCCCGAAAUUUGGAUGCGCGCGAGAACUCCCUCCUCAUCCGAAAUCGCUCCCGCAGCCCAGACACGCGAAAUCCCCCUUCUACCCCUCAACCGAAAAUGAAGUUCCAUGCCGCGGUGUCAAAACCGGUGAGGGUACGCUGGUAACUUACCCUACAUUUUGGACAAGCGCGUCCCUAAGCUUGGCUCACCCCUCCCCCUUCGCCCCCCCAUUCGUACACCGAGGUUGCCAAAACCCGCGAAACCCCAUGCUCCUCCGUCGGCCUCCCGACCGCCGCCCAACCGGAGACUCUUCCCCGACUACGUCGUCCACCGCAAUAGCUCGCCGUCCCUCAUCCACCACACCGGAUGAGGAUCCGUUGUCGAUCUCGUCGUCCCAUCGGAUCAGCCGCCCCGUCCUCCACCUCCAAGGAGCUGCCCCGACGUUCGCCUCGUCUAUCGCGCCACCUCAAUCCCCACAGCGCCGUCUUGACCUGCCCCACCGGAACCGCAACACCCUCACCAAUUCCUCUGAUGGAGCCGAGGCCAACUCGGCGCCACCAAGGAGGUUCUGCACUCACCGCUGCAUUUUAUCUUUUAUUUGAUCUCACGGGGCUGCCAGUGCUCGAUACCGAGUAGACAUGGCAUGUCUCCAUCGACGGCACCGUCACCGACACAUCAUCCACGGCGUCUCUCCCCCAUGUCGUUGCUUCCUCAGCGGCGACUUCCACAACGGCACUAGCUGCAGCUGCUCCGGCUCUCGCUCGCGUUGCGGCUCUGUUCUUGUUGUCGGCCGCGCUGCUGCACUGCUCCUGCUUUCGUUCGUGCUGCUGCUCUGCUCUUGCUCUCGCUUACGCUGCUGCUGCUGCUGCACAACCUCCGACAGCUACAUGAGUUGCUGCUUUAGCACUCGCUCGUGGUGCUACUGCACGACUUGCUCUCUGCUAGUGCGUUCCCUGCUCAAGCGUUUGCUGAUUUAGAUCACUGCUUCUCUGCUACUAGUGCUCGAAUGCCCUAAACAUCUAUUGCAAUGCUCUGUUACUAGUUCAAUCAGUUUCGAUUGUGAAGUUCAUUUUCUUCAAUUAAGUUCAGAGUGAACAGUACUUACAGCAUCUGUCGGAGCAGCCAUGGUGCGGCUGAUGCGUUUUACAUCUAGCACUUUUUGGUGAUGUAUUUUACAUCAUCUACUGCAGAUGAUAUUAGGGUCCCACUUCAGAUUAACAUUGUCUGUCUUGUCAUGCUUCAGCCUCGUCGCCGUACACCUUAGCGGAGCUGCUCCAACGACAUAACCGUCCAUCACAGCGGAGCAGUACCCUCGGCGCCGUUUCCAGAGGCCUCGGAUCUUCUUCCCCGCCUCUGACAGUCACACCAGCAUCAUCACCAUCCUCCACGUCCAACCCAAUGAUGCUGAGGUCCACAAGGCUAUGCCAAAGAGGUUGUACACUCGUCGCAUCACUUUGUUUCUCCAUUCCUCUGUUCUUCCAAUUCAUGUGAGCCAAACACCCAGGUUGACUGAAAUCCUAUGUUUCCAAAUGCUCUGUUUUGCACGUGCAUUCCUAUCCUAUUCCUGUGUUUUUCCUGUCCCUGCGUUUAUAGAAUCCUCCAAUUCUAAGGAGCCCUUACAUAUUUACUUCAUUUUCAGAUAGGCGUCAAAGAAAACUCUGUGUGUUAUGUCCUGCUCCUGCCGUGCCGUCAUCCACCCCACCUGAGGUGCACCAUCGACAGAAGCGUUCACUUCAGUAGAGAUCCCCCCUGCAGACUUCCUUUCGCCGCCUCAGAUCAUCUUCCCCAUUGCCGGCAGCCACGCCAACUGCAUUACCAUCAUCGACUUGAGAAGAUGAACCUGAGGAAUAAACAGUUCCGGAAGAGAGGUCACAGUCUUUCGUGUUUGUGUAACGCCCUCGAUGCGGCUAUAUCUCCCACGUGUUGAAGCACGACUUAGAGGCAUAACCGCAUUGAAAGCAAUGUCGCAAGUGAGGUAAUCUUCACACAACCCAUGUAAUACAUAAGGGAAAGAGAUACAUAGUUGGCUUACAAUCGCCACUUCACUCAAUACAUGAAUAAAGCAUUACAUCAUCCAGACACAAUCAAGGUCCGACUACGGAACCAAAAUAAAAGAAGACUACCCCAAAAGCUACACAGAUCCCCGAUCGUCCCAACUGGGCUCCACUACUGAUCAACUAGAACGAAACAACACAAAGGACAAGAUCUUCAUCGAGAUUCUCCUUGAGCUUGAUUGCGUCACCUGCUCGGUAACAUCAGCACCUGCAAACUGGUUUUGGAAGUAUCUGUGAGUCACGGGGACUCAACAAUCUCACACCCUCGCGAUCAAGACUAUUUAAGCUUAUAGGAAGGGUAAAGGUAUGAUGGUGGAGCUGCAGCAAGCGACUAGCAUGUAUGGUCGCUAACAUAUUCGCAAAAGAGAGCGAGAAGAGAAAGCAAAAGCACGGUCGAACAACUAUGAUCAAGAAGUGAUCCUAGACCAACCUACGUCAAGCAUUACUCCAACACCGUGUUCACUUCCUGGAUACCACCGGAAAGAGACCAUCACGGUAACACACGCGGUUGGUGUAUUUUAAUUAAGAUCAACUUCAGGUUUUCUACAACCGGACAUUAACAAAUUCUCAUCUGCCCAUAACCACAGGCACGACUUUCGAAAGUUCAAAUCCUUGCAGGGGUGUCCCAACUUAGCCCAUCACAAGCUCUCACGGUCAACGAAGGAUAUUCCUUCUCCCAAGACAAUCCGAUCAGACUCGGCAUCCCGGUUACAAGACAUUUCGGCAAUGGUAAAACAAGACCAGCAAAGCCACCCAGAUGUGCCGACAAAUCCCGAUAGGAGCUGCACAUAUCUCGUUCUCAGGGCACACCGGAUGAGCAAGACGUCGGGUAGGCCAGCCCAGAGUUGCCCUUGGUAGCCCCGGACAUCGCUCGGUUGGACCAACACUUAGAGAAGCACUGGCCCGGGGGUUAAAAUAAAGAUGACCCUCGGGAUGCACGACUCCCAAGGGAAAAAAGGCUAGGUGGCGAAUGGUAAAACCAAUGUUGGGCCUUGCUGGAGGAGUUUUAUUCAAGGUGAACUGUCAAGGGGUUCCCAUUAUAACCCAACCGCGUAAGGAACGCAAAAUCCGGGAACAUAACACCGAUAUGACGGAAACUAGGGCGGCAAGAGUGGAACAAAACACCAGGCAUAAGGCCGAGCCUUCCACCCUUUACCAAGUAUAUAGAUGCAUUAAUUAAAUAAGAGAUAUUGUGAUAUCCCAACAAAUAUCCAUGUUCCAAACAUGGAACAAGCUCCAAUCUUCACCUGCAACUAACAACGCUAUAAGAGGGGCUGAGCAAAACGGUAACAUAGCCAAACAAUGGUUUGCUAGGACAAGGUGGGUUAGAGGCUUGGCUCAACAAUAUGGGAGGCAUGAUAAGCAAGUGGUAGGUAUCGUAGCAUAGGCAUAGCAAAAGAGCGAGCAUCUAGCAAGCAAAGAUAUAAGUGAUUUCGAGGGUAUGGUCAUCUUGCCUGAAAUCCCGCAAGGAAGAAGAACGAGUCCAAGAAGAAGACAAACAGACGUAGUCGAAUGGGUCCUCACAAACGCGACGUUACUGGAUUACCGAGAAGAAGUACACCGGAAAGAAAGCAAACAACAUAUUAAACAACCAUCACAUCAACAUGGCAUGAUGCACAACCAAGUAUGAUGCAUGUCCGGUUUAAAUACGCAUGGCAUGGCAAAGGGCACAAACAACCCUACAAAUUAAGUGGAGCUCAAUAUGCAACUCCGUUGCAUAUUGACGAAACACCACGUGACUUAUUUAGUUCGAUCUUGUUUAUGUACCAAACAAUAUUAAAUGUUGUUAAACAUGGCAAGAGGGUGAGGCAAAGUAAAACUACCUAUCUAGUCAAGUUUAAAUGAGGCCGGAAGCAACGAACAACAAUUCCGGUAAAUCCCCAUAUGCAUAUAUUAGGUUCGGUACUGUUCUUCCCUAAACCAUAUUUUAGAGUUGUUAAACAUGCAAAGUACUGCCACCAUGUUAAACUAGGCAUAAUUCUACCCCAUUUACAUAUAAAGUUUAUUUAAAAUGGAGCUAUAGUUAUUUAGUUAUGAAUUAAAGCAUUUUAACAUGGAAAAACAGAAAAUUAAAGCAAACAGCAAGUUAAACAUUUUAAACAUGGAUGAAAGUUGCAUAUUAUUAAACUAGAUGAAAUUCUAGUCAAGUUUCAUAUAUAAAUUAUUUACAUCCGAUGCACGGUUGGUGAAUUAUUAAAUGCAUGAAACUUAGGGGGGUUCCUGCAAAACUGCUCUCUCUGAAAAAAAACUAAAACGUCCAGGAAAAAAACAUGUGUUGGGCCGAAUCUUGCUGGCCCAAGAGGAACAGGCACUGGGGCUGCUCACCCAACGUGCUUGGCCCAGAUCUGUGGAGAGGGAGAGGCUGGCAGGGGCGCGCUGGGCCGGCCUGCUUGGUUCGGUAGGGGAAAGGUCAACGCGGUCGCUCGAACGACUCGGGGCAGAUGCGGCGUCCUCCUCUUCUCAACAAGAAAAAGAGCAGCGGCGGCGUGGGACUUGGCGGCCGGUUCGGUGAAGCAAACAGUAGGCACAACGGCGCUGAGGACUCCGGCGAGCGGCAGGAUGAGGAGGGGUCGGCGCGAGAGCUCGGUGGCAUCCGGAUCCAAGUGCGAGAAGCCUUCGGGUCUCGUUUCCUGCCGGAUCGAAGUGGAGGCAGCCGAGACCUUGGGACCUGGCGUCCAUGGCGGAGGAGUUCCAAGGGCGGCGGCGCUGCACGGUUCCUGCAGGGAGGCGAGGUGAGAGAUACAGGGAAAAGAAAGGGGAGAGGCAUGAGGAUUAAGAGGAGGUGGUAGGCGCGGCACAGGGACUUGGCGUCGGCCAGGCAAGCGAAGGCGGACUUGGACGGGAGCAGACCGGGGGGAGGUCCGGCGGGCGGUGAAACGGGUGGAUCAGCUCGGCCAUCACUGGAUUCGGUCAAAGGCGACCGCGGACUAAGUUCGACAGUGGCGCUGUUCCAACUCCACGGCGAGCUCCUGCGAGAGGAAACGGGAGGGAGAGAGAGAGGGAUGAGAUAGGGUAAGAAGAAGGGAAAGAAGGAGGUAGCGCGAGGGGAUUUGACUCAGGCGUGGUGGUCUGCUCCAGCGAGCUGGCCGGUGCUCGGGCGGCUACAGGAGAGGAGCGACGGGCAGAGGAUGCAGGACUUGGGCGGCGAUGGUGGUUGGACAGGAGGGGAAAACGAGGAGAAGGUGGAGGCUAGUUUUGGAUCCCGAUGGGGAGUGUGGCGGCGGCAUGGGGAUGGAUGGGACAUCUCCCCUAGAAAUUAGGGUUGAAACUGUUUAUAUAUGGUAUAUGGAUCUUUGGGUAGGGGCUACCUCGUCCCUCCGAUCGUAAUCGGAUGGUCGAGAAACAAAUAGGUAGGGAGUCCAAAUAGAAAAUGGAGAUGUUUUAUAAACGUUUGGGGAUAAUCCGGAUCCAACGGUGACGACGGUCCGGGUCGGGUCCAGGACAAUUUCGGACACGCAUGCGAGGGGUCGAUUGGAACUUGUGGGCUGUGCAGAAGGGCUCGAGCUGAGAGAAAAGAAGAGAGAGAGGCCCGCCAGGGUUUCCGGAGACCGAAAACGUCCGAGCUUAGACCGGCUAUAAUGCCGCUAUAGUUUAACGGUUGGGCUAUCAAACGAACUCCGAAUGCGAUGAAACUUGAUAGGCGGUCUAUCUACACUAUAAUAAGACCACACGCCAACUUUCAACCCAAUCCGAGAACAUUUUCCGGCCACUUAUAAAAUAAUAUUUCGGACGUGCCGCGGGCGCGUGCAAGUGUGGUUGGGCUCAGAACGGACAACUGAGAGAACGAGGAGACCAGGACAGAUGCAAGUUUUGAAAAACAUGAUGAUGCAAUACACAUGAUGACAUGACAAGAUGCAACAAGCAAGCGAAUGACAAGGCAACAACAACGAAUAACUGGAAGACACCUGGCGCAACGGUCUCGGGGCGUCACAACACUCCACCACUACGAGAGGAUCUCGUCCCGAGAUCUAUAAUGGCACCGGAGGGAAAACGGAAGAGAAAGAUAAGAGGUUAAACUAAGUUGCUUCUUUGACAAUUGAGUGAAACCAAAGAACCUUGAAAGGUUGAACAAAUUGAAAGAAAGUAUACAAUGAAGAUGAACGAAGUUGAAGACACUCCGUUAGAAAAAAGGAACAAAGAACAUCACUAGAAUUUUGUAGGUUGAAAGACAUAAGAAAAAAGGUUGCAAUGGACAAGAAGUACAUGCAAGCACUCCGGUAGAAAAAGAGAAACAAGGAACGAUAAGGAUCAAUUACGACAACACUCCGGUUAAAAGAAGAUAGAGAAUGAAUAAGAAUGAUGUAAUUUGGGUAGCACUCCGACUGUAAAUGGAAGGAAUUGGACAUGAUCUUGACAAAACAAGAUGAUGGGUCGAAGAGAGCAGCAUCGCAAUGCCUCCGGAACAAAUGAAAGAAUGCAAUGAAAAGAACGGAGAAGAAAACAACAUGUUCUACCUCAAAUGAAUUUGAGAGAGCAUCCUUAAAAGAAGGAUUUAACGGAGUUGUUGGGAAAUCAACAACAAAAGGAAAAGCUCGAUAUGGGCUUAAGGAAUACAUCUCAAAAUUAUGAGGUGACAACCUGCCACUCACGAAAACAAUAGAUUGGAUUGAUAACAAGGAGACGAGAAGCUUAUUUCACCGGGAGGAUAGAUGAAGAACUUGGGUCAUUUAUGAGCACCAUAAAUAGCAACCAUCCUUAGGGAAGGCUUUAGGUGAAUCAUGACACAAGAUAACUCCAACGAAGAGGUUGAUGGAUAUAAAAUACCUCAUUCUUAACAACAUUUGAAUUAUGAAACAUGAACUCAAAUUAUCAAGAAUGACAUAAUACCACCUCAAAUGAUACGGUAGAAAGAAUUGCACUCCGGAUUGCAAGAUGAAGAAUGCUUGAACUCCUCAGAAAAGAAUCUCAAUUAAUACUUCGAAAAGGAAUUAAUUCUUUGAUGAACCAACAUGUAGAGCCUCCAUGAAGAACUCCAGUAAUAAAAGAAUGAUCAGACGAAAGGAAAGAGGAGUUGAAAACACUAUGUGAAACCUUGCAAUGAUUUAGACGGAUCUCCGUGAUGAUAUAAUUGCGAGAGCUUGGAACUCCAGAAAAUAAAAGAUAAAGCCUCUCGAACCGAGAAUGUGAUAUGAUGAACCUCCAGAAUUAGGAAUAAAAUUUACUCGAUGAAACAAGAAUAAGAAUUACAUUAUGCUUAUCCUUCACCAAUUAACUUGAUGACAAGCAAUGGAUUUGGCAUACAACUUAUUCCCGUAGAAAAGAUUAAGGGAGAAAUAAAUCAAACUUGAGAAGGUCUUCAACGAACCACCAGUAGGAUGAAACAACGAUUGAAUUAAUAUGAUACCCAUGGAAGAGAAUCUUGAGCAAACCACCGUAAGAAUUGAAAAUGGACAAAGGAAAGAUAGAGAAACACCGGGAAGAAUUAGCAAAUGAAUGAAGAUGCUUGAGGGAAUUUAGAUACAAGAGAACGUACAGAUCACGAACUGAUUAGAGGACACUUGAAGGAUGCACCGGUAAGAAUUGAAAAUGAGAGCUGAAAGCUGUAAUGAAUAAUCCCGAAAUGAUGGCCUUCGGCGAAUCAAACUGAAAAUACUCUGAAUUACUCCGGAUGGGUGAAAAGAAUUCUCACAAUAAAAAACAAUUAUGAGAGGAAGGCAUCAAGCUAGAAUCAUGAAUCUUGAAGAGAACGGAGCAAGAUUAAAGAGAAACUCUUCUUCGAUCUUCAAUAUCUAGGAAUGACGAUGAGAAACACCAUCAAAUUGUUGAGAUACUCCGGGAUGAAAAAUGGAAAGGUUGGACCAACGAUGAAAAGAAUUUGAAAGAUCUUGGAGAAAGGCAAUUGACUGAUGACAAUUCAUUCUUACGUCAAUUUUGAAAUGAAUUUGAGAAUAACUCCAGAAAAAUAAGGAGAGUUAGGUAAGAUCCUGGGAAAAGACCUGUGGGUUAGGGCCCACUCAAAAGAAACACCGUAGAACGAUUACUUGAAAAGAGAGAUUGCACCGGUUGAAUUAAAUGGCUUGAAUGAGAUAACAUCCUCGAAAGAGUUGGAACGAAAGCAGAGUGGAAACAUGAAUCUUUGAGAUAUCUUGAGCACUCCAGAACAAAUGGAUAGCGAGAGGUGAAUGAAUAUGAGGUGCAUCGGCAAGAGAAAACAUUUGGAACGAGGAAAAGAUAUGAUCGACAAGGCUUGACUUGAAUCCACCGGAGAAGAAACAGAACGAAGAAUGAUAAACUAGAAGCUCCGUUAGAAUCUUCAUGACAAUCAACGGAUACGAACAUUGACUGAAAAGAACGAAGAGACUUCACAUGAAUAAAAUGGAUAUUUGAUUAAGAAAACUGAGUCCUUGAAGAAGAAGGGUGGGUGGGCGGGAAAACAAAAGCAACUUGGAGACGGAUGAAACAAACAUCGUUGAGAAGAACUGAUAAUUGAUCUUGCGGAUGUUGAAAUGAUCGGAUCCACUUGAAGAGAAACACGCCGGUUGAAAAGGAUUGACAUGACAUUCUCGAUGAUCAAGAAUGAUUAGUAUCCACAUAGAAAUAUGAGAACACCACUUAGGAAAGGUAUGGAAUCAACAUUUGACUUUGAAGCAACUCGAAUACCACAACUCAAAAACAAAACAAAGGAUUGGCUUGCAGAAUAAGCCGGAACAAACAUAUGAUAGAGAUUUUGACCUAAGUUUUCGUGGUGGGGCCUACACGGGCUCGAUCGUACAACACCAUCAUGUACAAGGCAGUGCACAUGACAUACGAAGCGUCCCUGAGUCGGCAUAGCCAAGGACUCUUUAAGACACAACAAGACCACUGUAAAACCAACCGUGGAUAGGCGGACCACUAGACGUCGAACCCCAAUUUCAUAUCAUACAUCUGUCGGAAAGAUAUUCUAAGAGCUACUUGAAUUCCCACUUAUAAACUCUCAAAACUUUCCGGUUAUGCAAUCAGGUGUUGGGGAUACAGGGGAAGCAUAAUAUCUCACCCAAAACUAGCAAAUCCUACAUCCAGCUGUAUCCAUCCUUCAACAUAUAACCAAGAAACCUUCGGAAAUCAUUUACCUCAACCUUCGAAAAAGCAUUCGUUAUACGAGUUAUGGCAAUACUCCCGAACUCCCGCCCCAGUACUGGGUGGCGUCGAGGUUAUCUCACCAACAACUGCAUAAAAGAGAUUUUCGAUGUCGGCAAAACUAAACUCAGGUAUUCCAGAACUGCAACGAUAAAAUUGUGACGACAACACCUCGGAGCUCAACUCCCUGGGACACUGCCACAACCCCUAAAUGUCAGGAGGCACCAAGAACAAUGUUCUCGUCACAAAACCAUCGGAACUAUUCCAAGAUACCCGCGUGAUCCUAAAUUUAUUUAGUGAAAUUUGAGAAGAGAAGAGUCAAAACUCUACGUCAGGAUGCCUCACCAGAGCGACGAAGGGACUGAGGAGUAAAAAGAAUCCUACUCUCCGAUAUAUAUAAUCCUAAAAGACUCAAAACAUUUUCUAGACUCAGCAAUGCCAGCGAUUCGAUCAAGCAGGGGGCUCCUAAGGCCGGGGAAGGCUCUGAUACCAACUUGUAACGCCCUCGAUGCGGCUAUAUCUCCCACGUGUCGAAGCACGACUUAGAGGCAUAACCGCAUUGAAAGAAAUGUCGCAAGUGAGGUAAUCUUCACACAACCCAUGUAAUACAUAAAGGAAAGAGAUACAUAGUUGGCUUACAAUCGCCACUUCACUCAAUACAUGAAUAAAGCAUUACAUCAUCCAGACACAAUCAAGGUCCGACUAUGGAACCAAAAUAAAAGAAGACUACCCCAAAAGCUACACAGAUCCCCGAUCGUCCCAAUUGGGCUCCACUACUGAUCAACUAGAAUGAAACAACACAAAGGACAAGAUCUUCAUCGAGCUCCUCCUUGAGCUUGAUUGCGUCACCUGCUCGGUAACAUCGGCACCUGCAAACUGGUUUUGGAAGUAUCUGUGAGUCAUGGGGACUCAGCAAUCUCACACCCUCGCGAUCAAGACUAUUUAAGCUUAUAGGAAGGGUAAAGGUAUGAUGGUGGAGCUGCAGCAAGCGACUAGCAUAUGUGGUGGCUAACAUAUUCGCAAAAGAGAGUGAGAAGAGAAAGCAAAAGCACGGUCGAACAACUAUAAUCAAGAAGUGAUCCUAACAACCUACGUCAAGCAUUACUCCAACACCGUGUUCACUUCCCGGACACCGCCGGAAAGAGACCAUCACGGUAACACACGCGGUUGGUGUAUUUUAAUUAAGAUCAACUUCAGGUUUUCUACAACCGGACAUUAACAAAUUCCCAUCUGCCCAGAACCGCGGGCAUGGCUUUCAAAAGUUCAAAUCCCUGCAGGGGUGUCCCAACUUAGCCCAUCACAAGCUCUCAUGGUCAACGAAGGAUAUUCCUUCACCCAAGACAAUCCGAUCAGACUCGGCAUCCCGGUUACAAGACAUUUUGACAAUGGUAAAACAAGACCAGCAAAACCACCCAGAUGUGCCGACAAAUCUCGAUAGGAGCUGCACAUAUCUCAUUCUCAGGGCACACCGGAUGAGCAAGACGUCGGGUAGGCCAGCCCAGAGUUGCCCCUGGUAGCCCCGGACAUCGCUCGGUUGGACCAACACUUAGAGAAGCACUGGCCCGGGGGUUAAAAUAAAGAUGACCCUCGGGAUGCGCGACUCCCAAGGGAAAAAGGCUAGGUAGCGAAUGGUAAAACCAAUGUUGGGCCUUGCUGGAGGAGUUUUAUUCAAGGCGAACUGUCAAGGGGUUCCCAUUAUAACCCAACAACGUAAGGAACGCAAAAUCUGGGAACAUAACACCGAUAUGACGGAAACUAGGGCGGCAAGAGUGGAACAAAACACCAGGCAUAAGAACGAGCCUUCCACCCUUUACCAAGUAUAUAGAUGCAUUAAUUAAAUAAGAGAUAUUGUGAUAUCCCAACAAAAUAUCCAUGUUCCAAACAUGGAACAAGCUCCAAUCUUCACCUGCAACUAACAACGCUAUAAGAGGGGCUGAGCAAAAUGGUAACAUAGCCAAACAAUGGUUUGCUAGGACAAGGUGGGUUAGAGGCUUGGCUCAACAAUAUGGGAGGCAUGAUAAGCAAGUGGUAGGUAUCAUAGCAUAGGCAUAGCAAAAGAGCGAGCAUCUAGCAAGAAGUGAUUUCGAGGGUAUGAUCAUCUUGCCUGAAAUCACGCAAGGAAGAAGAACGAGUCCAAGAAGAAGACAAAUGGAUGUAGUCGAACGGGUCCUCACAAACGCGACGUUACCGGAUUACCGAGAAGAAGUACACCGGAAAGAAAGCAAACAACAUAGUAAACAACCAUCACAUCAACAUGGCAUGAUGCACAACCAAGUAUGAUGCAUGUCCGUUUUAAAUAUGCAUGGCAUGGCAAAGGGCACAAACAACCCUACAAAUUAAGUGGAGCUCAAUAUGCAACUCCGUUGCAUAUUGACGAAACACCACGUGACUUAUUUAGUUCGAUCUUGUUUAUGUACCCAACAAUAUUAAAUGUUGUUAAACAUGGCAAGAGGUUGAAGCAAAGUAAAACUACCUAUCUAGUCAAGUUUAAAUGAGGCCAGAAGCAACGAACAACAAUUCCGGUAAAUCCCCAUAUGCAUAUAUUAGGUUUGGUACUGUUCUGCCCUAAACCAUAUUUUAGAGUUGUUAAACAUGCAAAGUAUUGCCACCAUGUUAAACUAGGCAUAAUUCUACCCCAUUUACAUAUAAAGUUUAUUUAAAAUGGAGCUACGGUUAUUUAGUUAUGAAUUAAAGCAUUUUAACAUGGCAAAACAGAAAAUUAAAGCAAACAGCAAGUUAAACAUUUUAAACAUGGAUGAAAGUUGCAUAUUAUUAAACUAGAUGAAAUUCUAGUCAAGUUUCAUAUAUAAAUUAUUUACAUCCGAUGCACGGUUGGUGAAUUAAAUGCAUGAAACUUAGGGGGGUUCCUGCAAAACUGCUCUUUCUGAAAAAAAUAACUAAAACGUCCAGGAAAAAACAUGUGUUGGGCCGAAUCUUGCUGGCCCAAGAGGAACAGACGCUGGGGCUGCUCACCCAGCGGGCUUGGCCCAGAUCUAUGGAGAGGGAGAGGCUAGCAGGGGCGCGCAGGGCCGGCCUACUUGGUUUGGUCGGGGAAAGGUCAACGCGGUCGCUCGAACGAUUCGGGGCAGAUGCAGCGUCCUCCUCUUCUCGACAGGAAAAAGAGCAGCAGCGGCGUGGGACUUGGUGCCGGUUCGGUGAAGCAAAUUGCAGGCACGGCGGCGCUGAGGACUCCGACAAGCGGCAGGAUGAGGAGGGGUCGACGCGAGAGCUCGGUGGCGUCCGGAUCCAAGCGCGAGAAGCCUUCGGGUCCCGUUUCCUGCCGGAUCAAAGCGGAGGCAGCGGAGACCUUGGGACCUGGCGUCCAUGGCGGAGGAGUUUCAAGGGCGGCGGCGCUGCACGGUUCCUGCAGGGAGGCAAGGUGAGAGAUACAGGGAAAAGAAACGGGAGGGGCAUGAGGAUUAAGAGGAGGUGGUAGGCGCGACACAGGGACUUGGCGUCGGCCAGGCAAGCGAAGGCGGACUUGGACGGGAGCAGAUCGGGGGGAGGUCCGGCGGGCGGCAAAAUGGGUGGAUCAGCUCGGCCAUCACUGGAUUCGGUCAAAGGCGACCGCAGACUAAGUUCGACGGCGGCGCUGUCCAACUCCACGGCGAGCUCCGGCGAGAGGAAACAGGAGGGAGAGAGAGAGGGAUGAGACAGGAUAAGAAGAAGGGAAAGAAGGAGGUAGCGCGAGGGGAUUUGACUCAGGCGUCGGUGGUCUGCUCCAGCGAGCUGGCCGGUGCUCGGGCGGCUACAGGAGAGGAGCGACAGGCAGAGGAUGCAGGACUUGGGCGGCGAUGUUGGUUGGACAGGAGGGGAAAACGAGGAGAAGGUGGAGGCUAGUUUUGGAUCCCGAUGGGGAGUGUGGCGGCGGCAUGGGGAUGGAUGGGACAUCUCCCCUAGAAAUUAGGGUUGAAACUGUUUAUAUAUGGUAUAUGGAUCUUUGGGUAGGGGCUACCUCGUCCCUCCGAUCGUAAUCGGACGGUCGAGAAACAAAUAGGUAGGGAGUCCAAAAAGAAAACGGUGAUGUUUUAUAAACAUUUGGGGAUAAUCCGGAUCCAACGGUGACGACGGUCCGGGUCGGGUCCGGGACAAUUUCGGACACGCAUGCGAGGGGUCGAUUGGAACUUGUGGGCUGUGCAGAAGGGCUCGAGCUGAGAGAAAAGAAGAGAGAGAGAGGCCUGACAGGGUUUUCGGAGACCGAAAACGUCCGACGUUAGACCGGCUAUAAUGCCGCUAUAGUUUAACGGUUGGGUAAUCAAACGAACUCCGAAUGCGAUGAAACUUGACAGGCGGUCUAUCUACACUAUAAUAAGACCACACGCCAACUUUCAACCCAAUCCGAGAACAUUUUCCGGCCACUUAUAAAAUAAUAUUUUGGAUGUGCCGCAGGCGCGUGCAAGUGUGGUUGGGCUCAGAACGGACAACGGAGAGAACGAGGAGACCGGGACAGAUGCAAGUUUUGAAAAACAUGAUGAUGCAAUGCACAUGAUGACAUGACAAGAUGCAACAAGCAAGCGAAUGACAAGGCAACAACAACGAAUAACUGGAAGACACCUGGCGCAAUGGUCUCGGGGCGUCACAGUUUGCUUACGUUAUACAUCGGUUAUUAUUACCUGCUACUUUAUCGUUCAAUCUUGAGUUUUGAAUUGCCCAUGGGUCUCAUAUCGAGCCAGCAACGAAUAGUAUCUGUCUACUAUCUGGUUCAUCUGGGUCUUCUAUGUGGUUCAUGUUGGGUGGGCAACAAACAAUAGAUGAUCCAUUGUCUAUCUUUUUAAACGGAAGCUAUAAUCUACCUGCUAUCAUUAGUUUUGGAUCCAUCCACUCGUUUGCUACCAUCAGUCUUGAUUUUUGCAUGCACCCCUUAGGCCUUACAAAAUCUAACUAUUUUUUAUUAUGCAUGUCAGAUAUUCUACACAAUCGUACUGAACAUGUAGAGAAAAAGAGAAGACUGUUGCGUGCGAAUAUAAUGUCAUGCAGACGCCGCUCCAUGGUGGGCGAAGUGCCCCCCUCCUGCAUUUCUAGAUUGUAUUCCAGAGGAAGAUAACUGUUCAGAUGGAGAUUCAGAAGGAGCCGACCACGCCUGUUUACCUCCUGAGGUGUUUGCUCUAACCUGGCAUGGUGAUGUUGGUCAUAUCAUGCAUAUGGCGCCUUGUAUUGCUUAUAUUAUACAUCUUAUAUGUCAUCAACUUAGUUUAGAUUUGCUUUGUGUGAAUGCCACAUGUUUGGUUUCUAUAUCAUACUCCCACCAUUCCUAAAUAUUUGUCUUUUUAGAGAUUUCAACAAGUGACUACAUACAGAACAAAAUGAGUGAAUCUACACUCUAAAAUGUGUCUAUAUACAUCCGUAUGUGGUAGUCCAUUUGAAAUCUCUAAAAAGACAAAUAUUUAGGAACGGAGGGAGUAUAUGGGAAUUAUGCAAUGCCAUCUUCUUUAGCCAGGCAUAAUAUAUGUGAAUCAUGCAAUGCCAUCCUGUUUAGCCAGUCAUCGUAUAUGUGAAUUGUAUCGUGCCAUAUUUUUUCCAUAAUGUAUUCCAUUUGUCAACAAUGUUUAUACAUUCAUCUACUCUUCCUGUGCAUCAGCCAUUUGAGUCGGUCAUGGGAAAAUCUGGAGUGAAAACAAGGUCUUCUGAGCAGCCAGUGCUACCUGUCGAUGCAGAUUUCUUGCUGGUUACAGAUAGCUCCUCAGAGGAGGAUUCAGAGAGAGAUGACUAGUCGUAUCCCCCCUGAGGUGCAUGCUCUAACUUGGCUGGGUUAUAUUGCUCAUAUUAUGCAUAUGGUGUCUUGCAUUGCCAUGCCAUCUGCUUAGAUUAGACAUGCUUUAUGUGAAUGCCCCCUGUUUGCUUUCUAUAUCAGAUAUGUGAAAUAUGCAAUGCCAUGUUUUUCAGCUAGUUAUCAUAUAUGUGAAUUAUGCACCGCCAUGGAGCCAGGCAUCAUAUAUGUGAAUUAUCUCAUGCCAUCUUUUUUUUCAUUACGUAUUCCAUUUGUCGACAAUCUGUGUAUAUUGAACUACUCUCCAUGUGUAUCAGACAUUUGAGCCGGUUAUGGAAAAAUCUGGAGUGAAAACAAGGUCUUCAGAGCAGGCAAUGGUACCUGUUGAAGCAUAUAUCUCGAUGGUUACAGGGAGCUCCUCAGAGGAGGAUUCAGAGAUAGAUGACCAGUCCUAUAUCCCACCUGAGGUGUAUGCUCUAAGUUGCAAUGUUUAUAUUUCUCAUAUGAUGCAUAUGGUGUCUUGCAUUGCUUAGUUUAGACAUCAUAUGCACAAUAUUGAAUUCUAUCUGCUUAGUUUAGAGAUCAUACAUGCGAGUGCCAGCUGCUUAGUAUAUGAAUGAGUUAUGUCAAUUAUAUCAUGCCAUCAUGUAUACUUAGACAACAUGUAUGUGAAUUAUUUCAUCCUAACCUAUUUUAGAAAGACAUCAUAUAGUUGUGUCAUGUCAUCCUGUUUAGGUACUCAUCAUAUGUUGAAUUAUGCCAUUAUAUCCUGUUAAGUUAUCCAUCAUAUAUCUGAAACUGUGUCAUGCUAUCCUGUUUAGUUAGGCAUCAUAUAUGUGAAAAUGUGUCAUGCUGUCCUGUUUGGUUAGACAACAUAUAUGUGAGUUACCACAUCUGUCUAUCAUACAAUGUCUGUACGUUCAAUUUCUUUUCUUGUUUAUCAGCCAUUUGAAUUGGAGGGGGUUCUUGAACAGGACAGCGGUACUGGCCAGUAACUCGAACAUCAAGUUACUGUGGCUGAUAAACACCAGUCCUUUCUUGUGCAAGAACAAGCGUUGAAGGAUUUAAGCGCCAAACAAGAGAAAGUUAAUAAGCUUGCUAAGCAUCUUGCCAGCAUUAUGGGUACCCAGGAUAUUGUUUCUUGAACUCUUCUAAAGUGGCUUCAGUUCUGGACUUGUUUUGCUGCGGCGUCUAUAUGUUGCUUUGUUCCAAUGGCGAACUUUGAUGCCCAGUGGAUGUAAUAUGUGUAAUAGCCGUGAUAGCCUAGCAUAAGUUGCUUGCUUAUUUAUUUCCUUGUUGUCUUGUUUAUUUGUUUGCUUGUAGUCAGUGCAGUUCUUUUUCCACGGUUUGCUAGUGGCUGCAAUAACCUAUUUUUUAAAACUAGGCCACAAUAACCAUGGGCUAAUAUUUACUGUAGUGACACUGGGCCUCCUAUGGGCCGUAGAAACAGUGGGCCUUAUACGGGCCGUAGAAAUAGUAGGCCUUCUACGGGCCGUAGAAACAAUGGGCUUUCUACGGGCCGUAGAAACAAUGGGCCUUCUACGGGCCGUAUCAUCAAUGGGCCUUAUACGGGACGUAUGAUCGAUUGGCCAAACAUGGGCCAAUAACAGGCCGCAUUAUGGCCGUAAAUGGGCCAUCAUUAAUAGGCCGUAUUUGAUGACGCUAUAAAAAUGGCCCAACGUAUUAACGGACCACAAACGUGCCGACUGUAACCACGGGCUGAAUUUGGCCCACAAGCAGAAAAUGACAGUAACGGGCCGUAAGUAAACAAAUGCUGGAAAUGGGCCCAAGAAUAAAUGGGCUCUGAGAAGGCCGAAAGAUAACAUGGGCUGGAAACGGCCCAACGGAAUAAUGAGCCGUUAAUGGGUAUAAAGUGAUACACUGUUCAUUACGGGCCAGUUUCACCAAGGGCCAUUAAUGGGUGUAAAGUGAUACACUGUUCAUUACGGGCUAGUUUCACCAUGGGCCAUUAAUAGGCCAAGAGUUACAUAGGGCCUCAUAUGGGCCGAAAGACAUCAUGGGCCAUACAUGGGCCAGAAGUGAAAACGGGCUGGUAUCAUAUUGGAUGGCCCAGAUGACGCUACUAGGCCUAAUUCAGAUAGGGCGUAACGGGCCUUGGGUUAGCGGGCUGUAAAUGGGCUAUAUGCGAACAGGUCGUUAAUAGGCUUUCCAUGGGCCAGCCCGCCACCUUUUGACCAAGUCAAAUGGGUCGGCCUUUUCACAGGAAUGGGCCUCUGUUGGGACGUGCCACAUGUUGACGUAUUAUAGGCGCCUUCUGUCCAAUGAGUGGAUGACAUCUGUCCCAACGAUGAGCCGACACGUGUUUCCUCCAGCCAAUGAUGAUUUUACACGUGGAAAAUCCCCAUUGGUCGGGGCUGUUAACGGGUUAUCGGAUCCAAAACCCGACCCAAUAGCUUAACGGCGUUCCGUUAUGGUGGAUGCCACGUGUCGGUCACCCUUGACGAAAGCACUUCUGUGACGCGCGAUUUAUCAUCAUGGAAGUGCACACUUCUGUGAUGAUAAUUUUGGUGAUGUCAUGGAACACUUCUACGACAGCACAUGUAUGACUAUCUUGAUUCUGUCAUAAAUUUGUCAUGAAUGUACAUGCAUGACAAAAAACGCGACCUACUAUGACAAACACGUAUCAUCACGGAAGUGUAUUUUUUGUAGUGAUUGCUUUACUGCCUGAAUUUUGAUUGGGUCUGUUGCAACUCCAUAAGCCCUAAUAACAUGUCCCAAGUACUCCACCUGAGGCUGAGCAAAGACACACUUGCUUGCUUUCAGGUACAACUGUUGUUCCUUCAGUGUUUCAAAUACUUGUUGCAAGUGAAGUAUGUGAUCUUUCAUAUUUUUACUGAACACCAAAAUAUCAUCAAAGAAUACUAGUACAAAUUUUCUGAGAUACUUGGCUAAGAUAGUAUUCAUGAGCAUUUGGAAAGUUGUAGGAGCAUUGGUUAAACCAAAGGGCAUGACCAAGUAUUCAUAGUGUCCAUAAUGAGUGCUAAAAGCAGUUUUCUCAAUAUCCUCUUCCUUCAUUCUGAUCUGGUGGUACCCACUUCUGAGAUCUAGUUUAGUGAAAACAGUAGCUCCAUGCAGUUCAUCCAACAAGUCCUUAAUAGCAGGGAUGGGGUACUUGUUUUUGAUAGUCUGAGUAUUGACCUUUCUGAAAUCAUUGCAAAGUCUCCAGGAUAGAUCUUUAUUUUUCACCAAAAUUGCAGGAGAGGAGUAAGGACUUGAACUAUCUCUGAUCACCUUAUUUUUAAUCAUUUCUUGAAUGAUAUUUUCCAUAACCUCCUUUUGGUGAUGAGGCAAUAUGUAUGGCCUUUGGUUUAUAACUUUUGCAUCAGGUUCAAAAGGGAUUGCAUGAUCAACAGUUCUUUUAGGCGGUAAAUCAGUAGGAGUGCCAAAAAUAUCCUUGUACUGACCCAGAAGCUCUUGGACAGGGGGGG